RNAcentral lists this long non-coding RNA (50403 nucleotides) under Populus tremula. Its description in RNAcentral is "long non-coding RNA (PTRE_LNC001501)". Lineage: Eukaryota; Viridiplantae; Streptophyta; Magnoliopsida; Malpighiales; Salicaceae. The record is from RNAcentral.
AGAAAAAAAAUGUAAAAAAAAGAAGAAAAGAACAGGAUGAAGUAAAGCUAGUUCUAGAUGGUGCAACAAAAUCAGAGGAGUUACGGAAAUAAGUUUCAAUAAUCACCUAUUAGGCCAUAUUUCCGCAAGAAAUUAGCUGUAGUAGCAGCAUCCCAGUCGUACCUGAUAAAACAGCACCAUAAGUAAGAUCAAAGGGAACUGUGAAGAAGGCUGCCAAUCAAAUAAAUGAGAAUGAGACAUACUGGUGUUUGGUCGGUUCUUGAGGCUUGGGCUCAAUAAGCAGAGCUCCUGAAAGACAGAGCAAGCAAAUAUUAAGAUCACUUCAGAAUUUUGGAAGGAAACAUUUGAUAAAAUGAGGACAACGUUAAGGAAGGAUAAAAAAACAAGACAAUAGAGGAUGAGCUAUUCAUGUUCUGCAUGCCCCAUGAAAAUGGAAAUGCCUAUUGUAUCCUAUUGUGCAACUGAGUCUAUGCUGCCUGUGUUAUGAAAAGAACAGAAAUAUACCAUUGAAUCCAAUCUUCUUCUUGUAGGCAACAGCAGCUUCGCAAAACCUUGCCUGUAGGAAGAUGUCGGAAAUCAUUAGUUAGUAAGAAGACCCAGACUUCAUCAUGGAAACUCCAGGGCAGACCAACACUGACCAGAGAGGUAAGUAGUAAGAGCUCUUUUAAUGUUAAGAAGGUGAGAAUUGGAGAGCAUACCAAAUGAUCAAGCUCCCUUUCCAUAUCUGUGUUCAAAAGACUCUGGUAACCCUCACGACCACCCAAAAGACAUAAUUUUCUCCACCCAAGUCAUGUGUGACCUGUUGGAAUAAGAGGUGUUAAUUGCAAUUUGUUGAUAUAAAAAUUCCAUAAAAGUAUGUUACAUUCACACAAUUAUCUUUUUUUUUUUCCAAGACUACACACAGAUCAACUCACCUCCAUUGCUUUCUUCACUUGAGCUGCAGCAUAUGCAUAUACGCCUAACUCAGAACUGUGACAAGAGGACCCAAACGUAUUAAGUCUAUGAACAAAUGACCUGGAUAGCAUCAAUAGCAUGACAUCCAGUCAAGGAUAGAAUACCUAGUAGCACCACCAUGCAUGUAACGAGGAUGCAUAAACAAUUGUGCUGUACCCCACAAAGGACGGAUCUUGGUUCCCUGCACAGUCACGUGAUUGAGGCAUCAAAAACUAAACCAAACUUCAUAAUCUCUUGUACACACAUAAAAUAAAGUAUCAAGCAUGCUGAUAUCCAAAUCCACAUAAGGUAGUGUUAGUGGUUCUCCUCCGAAUAUUGAAUACCUUGGUCGAUCAGUGAUUGUGAAAGUUCUGUGCCACUACAAUUUGCACCUCUUGUGAAAUAUCACAUGAAAGAAAAAAGGCGAGAUUUUGCUCCAGUUUUUCUGGCGGCUAUAAAUUUAUACACUUCUUUCCCUUCACCAACUUGGCAACCAAGAAAAUAUGAAGGUAACUAUUGCAAUUUAAGGAAGUGGGGAAAAAAGACAAGGUGGGCAAAUAAGCGGUUUAAAUCUGCCAUAGAAUUAGAUUGCAUAAAUAUUUAGUUAUUUUUUUCUUUUAAAAAAGGAUUGACUACCCAGCUGCAGUUCAUGAUACGAGAAUAAGGGAAUUCUAUGUCAGUCUACAUGGCACUGUUCCUUUGACAGAAAUAUUAUAUAAAAGCAGUUUAAAAAUAUGAAAAUAGUUGCCAAAUAAUGUAUAUUAGAAAGAAAAAAAAAAAAAAAAAAACUAAUAUAUCAAACUAUGAUGAAGAAACUGAUGUCGGAUAGGUAUACAACAAGCCUAAAGAACAGUAAGGUUCUGGCACCAGUUAAGCUAAUACACAGAUGUAUGAAGUUACAUUUCUGUUUUAUUUCAGUCAUAUGAUCAUCAUCCUUUGGUUUCAAAGAUUACCUGAAGUUCUUUAGGGCCCACUACUUCAUCCAAGUUUUUAUUACUUUCCUGUAACAAAAAGAACCUCAAUUAGUUCAGUGGUACACCAGUGUGAUAAAAAAACAUAGAUCAAAAUAAAGAAACAAGAAACAAUUAAGUCUAUCCAUAAUUAAAGUUUAACAACCAAAUGCUCAUUAGCAGAAACAAGGAACCCACUUCCCCCCAGUUGAUACUGUUAUUUAAAAACUCACUCACCUCCAGAGUUUCACCAUCAGGAGCUAUAUCCCUAUCAUGGAAACACCACCUAUCAACUCCAAUCUUCUCCAAGAACUCAAAAUUAGCUCUCACUGGGUUGUGUAUCAAAAGGGAAAAAAAAUCAAUAAACAAAUAGGCACCAACUUUGUAGUACUCAGUAAAUGAUGUGUAACAUCAUGGAUCUUACUUCUCCUUUUGGCCAUAGCCAAAGAAUUGGUUCCAUCUUCCCAAGGCCAAUACUUGGUAGGCGCACCAAAGGGGUCACCUCCUGUUCCACGGAAUGUGUGCCAAAAUGCAAUACUGAAUCUCAUCCAAUCCUGUUAUCAGAAGUAAUAGUCAGCAAUAGUUCUACUGCUUGCUACAGUAUAUAAUAGCAAAACUGCACUCCACCUUCAUUUUCUUCCCAAGAAUCUCUUCUUCCGCAUUAUACCAUUUGAAUGCUAGUGGAUUCUUGCUAGAAGGUCCCUGCAAAUAAAAUUUGACUCUAGAGCUAAAAGUGCAAGUAAAAUAUACAUGAUUGAAGACACCAAGUUAUAGGUCAUAAAUGUCUUUACCUCGAACUUAAUUUUGGGAAUGCCAGGGAAGAACUCCCCUUCCCAUUCUCCAGAAUCACUGCAUUUUCCACCAAGAUCAGCAGGACAUGUUGGUGGACCAGCAGCAAACUGCAUUGCAAUGUAAUGAAACGAAAGUAAAAUGAGAACAUAAAUGAAUAAUGUCGUUAAACUGUGGAUCCUCGCCCACAACUGGAUUUCCACAAAAUCCCCAUUGGUCCCAUAUGGUCCACAAAAUAAACUAACAUUAGAAAGCAGUAUAGAUUCUCAAUAUUGCCCCAUGCAACACCAGAAAAGAUUUAUUUUUUUAUUCUCUUACCACUCCUAAAGUGAUUACACUCGAGCAAACAAGAAGCAGCAGUAUCCUCCCACCUUUCAUCUUAUUGAAGCUAACCUUGCAAUAUAAAGAAACAAAAAGCAAACAAACAAACGAUAAUCAAUCAAUCAAAGAACGAAAACCAUAGAUCAACACCCACACAUCCCAUGACCAAUUAGACAACUUUAAGAGCCCAAAAUAAUAAUAAAUCAAAACUAAAAAAUUGACUAUCCUCUCUAUCUCUCUCACUCUCAUAAACAAAUAAUCAGUCCAGUAAUUGCUGCACGAUUAGCAAUUAAGUAUUAAGUAUAACAUGAACAGAAAUUAGAAAACAACCCAUGAUCACAUUACUAGAUAACAAUCAUGGGUUAUCAAAAAAAAAAAAUCAACCAUCAAUCCAGCAAAGCUUACAACAUCAAGAAGACCAUCAAAGCACUAAGCUUUGCCAAAAAAAAUAACAUGGAACCAAAACUGGAAAACAACCCAUGGUUACAUUAGCAUAUAGCAAUCAUGGGUUGUCAACAAAAAUAAAAUUCAGUCAUUCAGCCCAGCAAAUAUUACAGUAACAAGAAGAUCAUCAAAGCACCGAGCUUUACCAAAAAAAAAACUUCGAAUAAAAGAUAAAGCAGAAGAGAGAUUGAGAGAGAUAAACUUACAAAUGACACUGAAAAUCGGACUACUGAGAUUACAAGAGAAAGAAACAUGCACAAUAGCUGAGGAUGUUGCUGCUAUUUAUAGAGACAGCCUUAGUAAAAGGAUAAUAUUUAUAAACAGGAUUUUUUUUUUGUGGUAAAUUCAUAGAAUUUGACUUUAACUAAAAUGAUAAAUUUUAGGAUUUGAUUUUGCUUGUGAUACGAUUUUACGAAACCACUUUUAAUUAUCCCUCCUUAAAUUAUCACCCAAAUUGCUAAUUUAAUUUGCAACUUUCUCUUUUUCGGUAAUGUCAAAAAAAUAAAAUUUAAUCUUCUACUAACCCUUAUUAUUUACUAAAUAAUCUAUAUAUAUAAAAGGAGUUGAUGAUAGGUAGAGAAGUUUGAGAGUGUAUUAAUAAUAAAAAAAAGAAAAAAACUAUCACCAUGCAAACUAGCCUAAUAGGAAGAAGAUAAGUUUCGUUGCUACGGUGAUGUCCUGAGUGCCAGCUAUUGGUGCAUGAUAAUCAAGUUUCUUAAAAAAGAAAAUUCAAAGAUAAGAAAGAAACCUGAAUGGAUUUAAAAAUAAAAAAAAAAUUAAUAGGAAGGGAAGUGAUGACGAGGCAUCUUUGGAUUAAACUGAUGAGUCAGCGGUGACACUCCCAAUGACCAAAAAUAAUUGCUUGAAAAUUGCACCAGCUUAUUGCCUUUAUCCUUUAUUUACAAACAAUGUCAAUGUCAAUGACGACUUGUAAUGCUCUAGGUGUUUGAUAUCUAUUGGUUGAUCUUUAAAAUAUUUUUUUAUUUAAAGUAAAUUUAAAACAAAUAAAAAAAUUUAAAAUUUUUUAAAAAUAAUUUUAAAACCCUUUUGAUUGCCCACUUAAAGCUGGAAUAAGACUUGUUUUCAUAAAAGUUUGAUUUUUUUUUAUUAUUAUUAUUUUAAUAUAUUAAUAUUAAAAAUAAAUUUUAAAAAAAUCUAUUUCGAUACAUUUUAAAAAAUAAGUGUUAGCUUCCGCACCGUCACUCCAACUCCUUGAUGUAGUUUGAGCCCUCAAUUCUCUCCAUAUGAUGGGCCUAAACAAUGGACUGAUGUAUUGUGGUUGCAACCCACUUUUCAAAUGCUAUAGGUUCGGUGUGAAGAUGGACGUGCCUUGGUGGCCCAACAAGCUCCAAGAAGUCAGCAACCCCAAGGCCCAACCCAAACGCGAACCCCCCCCCCCCCCCCACCGCACAAAUAUCCUUUAAAUACUAACAUAAUUUCAUUUUCAUUUUAUUCUGUUUGAUCACACGCGUAUUUUUUUAUAUCAAUAUCUUAUUUCUUAAGAAUACUUUGUAAGAAUAUAAUUGUAUUACAUUUUCAUUUAAUUAAAUUGAUAAAAGAAUCUAUUGCUCAUAUUUAUUAAUUAAUUAAAAGAAUUUAUUACAUUUACAUUAUCAACCUCUGCUUGAAGCUUAUAGCCCAGUUCAACACUGGUAUCUCAACAAAUAAAAGUUCAUAUACUAAGUUUUAUUUCGUGAGGAAAAUAUUUUUUUAAAGUUAUGAAAAAUUUAAAAUUUUUAUAUUAUUUAUUGAUUAUAUCAGAUUUAAAAUCUCUAAAUUUUUUAUUGUUAUAUAUAUUUUAUUUUAAAUAUUUGUUUUUCAAUUCCAUUCUUUAAAUUUUGAUUUUUAUAUUAACUUUGGUUUUUAUUUUUAUAAUUGUUAUUUACUUUUUUUUUAUAAUUUUUUAAUUUAAAUUUUUUAUCUAUCAAAUUUGAUCAUCAUUCUUUUGAUUGUUACUUAUUUUAUUUGAAAUAAUUUAUGAAAUUAUAAUUAUAAUUAUUUUAAUUUCAUCUUCUUUCAAAAAAUUUAUUUGUUAGAUUUGAUAUCUAUUAUUUUGAUUAUUAUUUUUUUUAUUUGAGAUAAUUUAUGAAUUUUUUUUUUAAUUUCAUUCUCAUUCAACUUUUAAAUUUGUAAGAUUUGUUCCUCAUAUUUUAAUAAACUUGAAAAAAAAAAUAAAACAUUAAUAAGUUAUUUUCCAAUUCAUUUUCCAUGACAUAACCAAAUACUGAAAAGUAUUUUCCAAUUUAUUUUCCAUGACACUACCAAACAUCAGAAAAUAAUUCAGUUUUUCAAAUUCACUUUCCAAGAAAAUAACUUUCCAAAAAAAACUAUUUUUCAGCAAACAAACGGAGCCUAAUAGAGUUCAUAAACUCAAAGUUUUUAAACCCAGCCCGAUCCAAGGCUCGGAUUUCGAGUUUUGAUCGGGUCACCGGGUCGUCGGGUCCAUUCUGAUUUUUUUAAUCAAAACAAUAUCGUCUUAGUAAAAAAAAUAAAGUCAACGGAUUCCAACCGGAUUUUUAACCGGGUCAACUUCUCGAUCAUCUCGUAUUUUAACAUUCCAUAAUUUUUAAGAAAUCCAACUUGAUUUAGUUUUGGAUUAAUCUACCAAGCAAGAACCGGUUUCAAAACUAUGCAUAGACUAAUAUGGUAAAUAAAGUGCUUUUAUGUUCUUUCAAACAAGAAUUUUUGUAAAGUCAAGCAAGUUGUUGCACCUGACAUAUAAUAGAUAACCAGAGAAAUAAUUAAUGAUUCAAAAGGUAAGUUACCACUUAAUUUUCAAAAAGGUGAAAAUUAAGGAAAAUCUACAUUAAUUAUAGGAGUUUUUUUUCUACACGAAUAGAGAAAACAAAAAUCACCCGAAAACUACUAGGGUGUGUGCGCGCGCUUCUAUUUUAAAAUUAUAAAAAAGAAAAUUUACAAAUAUACACCAUCAAAUAUCACCCAAAUGAAUUUUGUUUAAGUUUAAACUAUCAAUUGAUGUAUAUUAUUAGGUCUUGAAAAAUCCAACGUCAUGCAAUUAUAUCCAUAAAAAUGAAAACUUGGAUAAUCCUCCUAUUUUUUUUAUUGAAACUAGUAAAAAAUAUCAUGAUCUUCAAGAAACAAUAAACAAUCAUGCCACAUUUUCAUCAUUGAGUGAGAAUUAAAUGAAACUAAUAAAAUUAGUGAAGCACCUAUAGAAAUUAAGAGUUUAAAGACUAAAUAGACACAAAAAUUAAUUGAAUAGAGGACUAAAAUAAAAGGUGCGUGAGGAACAAGUGUGGUUUGUUUUACAGUGCACAAGUGGCACACUCAUGACAUAUGGGAUGUUGGUGGACCUUCAAUCGAUGUCGUUUUAACAGCACUUAAAAGAGUUUUCUCGGACGAUGAAACUGAGUUGGCAAUAAUCGAUGAUAAAGUAUAGUGGAGGAGAGGUGAUGUUGUCUUUAUAGUUUAUAUGGGCUUAUAAGAUUUUAAAAAAAAAUUUGAUUUUUUUUCUACAAUUUUUUCUGUCCCAUUUUGUUUAAAGCUAUAUGGUAUGGAUGUAUAUAUAUUAAUGUGUCAAUGACAUUUUUUUGGGUUCAUUUUAAAAUGUCAAUGACAUUUUUUUGGGUUCAUUUUUUUGACAUUUUUUGUGUCAAUGUAUAUAUAUUAAGUAUACUUUUUUUUCUUUUUUAUUUUUCAAUUUUGUUCCCGCACUUAGGCUAUACAACCCAAUCUCACAUGUUUAGGUUUGGGUUUAUUUUUAUAAUUUUAUUUUUUAAUAUUAAAUUUAUUAAGAAUAAAGUUUUAUGGUAUUUUUUUAUAUUUUUUUAAAUAUUAUUUUUUAGAUUUCAUUUUCUAGCAUUAAGUAGUUAGAAAUCAAACUUCAUAAUUUUUUUAUUUGUUUUUAUUUUAUUCUCAUAAUUUUAAUUGUUUAUUUAUAGAAUUAACUCGAGUUUAUUUGUAUUUUUUUAUUAUUGUUUUUUUUUAUCCUCCUGUUUUUUUAACUCGAUCUCAACAGGUUGUCAUGCUAAUAUUUACUAUUACACCGAGAAAAUCACAAAUCGAUCAAACACCGCUUUCCAGCUACCCGCCUCCUCAAUUUGAAACGAGUAGCUGGGUAAACGAUUUACCAAAGUCAAAUCCUCAAGAAUAUUCAUUAACUUAAAUAUAUCAAAUCAAAAUGAAAGGGAGUUUCUCAGAAAGACAGCUUAAGACAUGUCUAGUUGUAAUUUGCUUAUAAAUAAGACAAAACCAACAACAUCAAGUCCCACUAGAGACAACUACGUUUAUUCCAUUAUUAUACAUGCUACGUGCAUGAUGACGGCGGAGGAGGAAAGAUGCGAGAUCAAUGACGCCACGGAAUAGCCGGCGAAAUUGAACGUCUUCGAGAAGCCAUUAUAUAAUAAUGGAUAAGAUGGAAAACCAAGAUUUGAACGACUCUCUUCUCCUUGUUUCUUAUUCGGAUGGAAAACCAAGAUCAAUGACUAUUCCAACUUGUCCAGAUAUCUGAAAAGUUUCUCAAUUUUAUCUUUCUCGACAGAUGAUUGAUCUCCCCAUUCAGGUCAAGGCAUGCGCCAAGAUCCAAUUUUGAAAUGAAAAGGUCCCAUAAUUUUGGUGGGACUUCCGAACAACGAUUUUAAGACUGUACAUGUUACAGCAUCACCGAACUUACCAUUCAAAACACAGUCAACCGACCCGCCAGCUAACAACUGGUCUCCAUCCCUUCCAUGAUGGGCACUCAAAUAUGAUCAAUUCUCCUAGCCCUCUAAUAAAUACACGCAUGUGCUUGAGUAUAAAUAAAAAAACAUGAGACAAGAUCUCCACAUGAAAACCGUGUAUAUAUAUGAUAGCUGCGAAGAUGAAGCACGAGUUAUCCUCCAAUUUCAAAUCUAUCCAUCGCUUCCAUUCUUGACACCGGUUUGGAGCGAAGAGGGAUAUAUAUAUAUAUAUAUAUAUAAAAAACAUUUGCAAGAGGGGUAGGUGCCUGUACUCGUUAUUAGUAGAAAAAACGAGGGGGGAAUAUUUUCGGAAGAAGUUUGAGGAGGAACAGCUGUUGUUAGUAGAAAGGAGUUCAUAUUUUGUCACAAACAAAAUAUGGGACAUGGAAAUAACAUAGGUAAGUACCAGUUAGGUCGAACAAUCGGAGAGGGAACAUUUGCCAAGGUUAAGCUGGCUGUAGACAGCACUGAUGGUCGUCCUGUUGCAAUCAAGAUCAUGGAUAAGAAAAAGGUCAUGCAAAGCCAUCUCAAGGAUCAGGUGAUAUUCCAUCUAACAUUUCCUUAUCUUCUUUCCUUGAGAGAAGUCUUGAUGACGACAACACCAAAUAUGCUUCUUUCUGACAUAUGGAAAUGAUAAUUCUAGGUACAGAGGGAGAUAAGAGCUAUGAAGCUCUUGCAUCACCCCGGUAUCGUAAGGAUACAUGAGGUUUGUUGGCUAGUUUCUCAUGUUGUGUCCGGUGGCCUCAACGGCAAGUCGGAGAACUCUUCCUUAUUACUUCUUGUUGUUGAACAAUUACAGGUGAUCGGCACAAAGACAAAGAUUUAUAUGGUAAUGGAAUAUGUAUCAGGAGGACAACUAGCAGAUAAGCUGGUAAGGAUUAUCUAACAGCAUCAGCAAUUCAAAGGUGAUGUUUUUAUAUUGACAUUUCUAAUCCUGUUCAACUCUAAUUACUCAGUCCUAUGCCAAGAAACUAAGUGAAUCGACGGCAAGAAGAAUAUUCCAUCAAUUGAUAGAUGCGGUGGACUAUUGCCAUAACAGAGGAGUUUAUCACAGAGAUCUAAAGGUACAAGACAACGCACUUCGCUUCUUUCUUUUUUUGCCAAUUUUCUGUAAAGGAUUUACACAAUCUGAUGAACAUCUUGCGCGCAGCCAGAGAACUUACUUCUGGACGGCAAAGGAAAUCUGAAAAUUUCUGACUUCGGACUAAGUGCAUUACAAAAGGUACUGGAAGCCUAGCGAUUUUUCUUCACUUCCUGUUUAUUUAUUUGCAAGUUAGUUUGAACAAUUCCAACCUUGGUUCCAUGUCUGAUUGACAGACUGCGAGCUUGCUAACUACAACAUGCGGGUCACCUUUCUAUAUAGCACCUGAGGUAAGAAGCAGUUUUCCUCUUACUAAAUUCCUAGAAGUAAUUCCCAGCUUGUUACGGCUGAAACAGUUUAGAACUUAUUCCUAAAUUCUCUUCACAGUUCACCACUGUAGCUAACGGGUGAUCUUCUGCUACACAGCUUAUUGCAAAUAAGGGUUAUAAGGGGGCAGCAGCAGAUGUUUGGUCCUGUGGGGUAAUCCUUUUUGAGCUACUGUCGGGAUAUCUACCAUUUGACGAACGUAACCUCAUAAUGUUAUAUAAGAAGGUAUUAUCUAUAUAAGGGUUAAUUAUCUCUACCAUGUGCGAAAGUAAUCACUCCAUUGAUGACUCUGCUUGUGUAAAGAUAUCUGCAGCUGAUUACACAUGUCCACAGUGGUUUACAGAAAGUCAAAAGAAGCUAAUAUCAAGAAUAUUAGAUCCAAAUCCCAGAAAGGUAUAUCACCAAGAUGAGUUUUUAUGCUUUAACAAAUUCUAGGAUCAUAACAAACGAGAAAGUAAUGCAAUCAUCCAUCAUCGCAGAGAAUAACAUUACCAGAGAUCCUUGAAGAUGAAUGGUUUCAGAUAGAUUACGUGCCUUCUUGUGGAUAUGAAUGUGAUGAAAAAAUCAUCUUGGAGGAUGUUAGUGCUGCUUUCGAUGCCGAUGAGGUAAAUGUUCAUAAACAGUAAGACUACUGCAAGUUUUGUGCUUUCACCUGGAUAACUGAAAUUCUAAGCAGGUCAACGCCUCAGAAACAGAGACCCCUAAAUCCUCAAGUUUCAUAAACGCUUUCCAACUGAUAGCAAUGUCCCAUGAUCUUGAUUUAUCAGGUCUCUUCGUAGAACAGGCAAGUCUGCAAAUCAGAAUUUGGCUUUACUUUCUGCAAACUUCCUUUGUUCAUUUGUGAAUUUCAAUCAAUCUCUCUCUUGUCUAGGACGACAGGAAGCAGAAAACCAGGCUAGGAUCCAAACAUACAGUUAACGAAACCAUAAGGAAAAUAGAAGCUGCUGCAAUGGAUGUGAGUUUGUCAGUUGAAAGAAUGAACAAUUUCAAGGUAAAAACUCGUUGGAUUUGCCUAGUCUUCAUCUAGAGAGAUUUUCUCCAUUACAGAGUAACUAAUGACUAUACUACACCAUCUCAGAUGAAAAUGCAUCAGAAACCAAACAUGAAAAGAUAUACCAGAUCAUAUUAUGACCUAUCAGCAGAGGUAAAAUGUUCUGCAAAUGCCUUCAAGAUAUCAGAAUUCUGUAGUCUAACAUCAAUGACAGUCUAAUCAUUCCGUGUCAAAUGUCAGGUAAUCGAGGUUGCUCCUAUGAAUUGUGUUGUAGAAAUAUCAAAAUCAGUAGGGGACACAAGAUUGUACAAAGAGGUAUAAAAACCUUCUGUUUUAUGUCAUUUUCUUGAAUAAACAAUUAGUGUUGAUUAUAUCUGCAGCAUAAUGACUUCAUAUCAUCAUUGUUGAUGAACAGUUUUGCAAAAGUUUAUCGAGUUUGCUGACAAAGAUAUCAGAUGUAUCAUUGCAAAAGGAAGGAUCAGAAAAAUCAAGCAACAAUAGAAGCACUCACGAGAUAAGAAGGUAAUGUAAAGCUCUGAAAUACAAUUUGAUUAGAUAAACUAAAAUAGAUUGCCUGUCCAACUCACUGGAAAAUUUUCAAAACCAUGCAGCUGUGAGGAGCAAAAUGAAAACGUGACUAAUGGCCUUCAAGGCUAUUCCUCUUCUUGAUGAUUACCUAAAACUGCAUUUGACCUGGCAUUUCACACUUUCAAGAACCUCAGAGAAACUGGACAUUUUAUUAUAUGAUAAUCUUUCAACUGCAGAACCUAAGAACCAUUGACAAGUACCAUAAGGCAGCAGGGCACUGUUCCUCCACAGAAACAAGUCAGCCCUGUUGUGUACAGGACUGUUUGCUUGCCCCAAAUUCUCUCCCAUUUCUUCUUUCUUUUUCUUUUUCUCUUUAUAUAUAUAUAUAUAUAUAUAUAUAUAUAUAUAUAUAUAUAACUUUGCUUCUUCCUUUCAUUUUGACACUAAUAACUCACUCCAUAAUGUAUAUUAAAGGCCAGAAUUCUUCUUUAAUAUUUCCAAUGAGAGAUCAAUGACUGAAAACCAUUCCUGUAACUUCAUUAGACCAAUUUUAGCCUGGUUUUUAUACGUUGACAGCAAAAGAAUAAUGUUGAAGCAAGAUAGCUAAGCAAAUAUCAAGCAAACCUAAUCAGCUACUUCAGUCAAGCCAGCAGCUACCACCAAGGGGAUUUCUCUGAAACAUCUCUACAUAAAAAAUUUAUAUUUCUUACAUAUUUCUAGAACACAUCAAGAUUCAAACAGAUUCUAAAUCCAUAUUUCACAUUCUCCCCUUUUCUGGUCAUAUGGUGCUAAUAAGGAGACAUCAACCUAACUUUAUAAAAACAACCUGCUGGUCCUUUGGAUCUGCUAAAUUCUCAACAUAUGCCUCAAUUGAGAGUAAACCAGCAACAAAAUCUAUAAAUAGUAAGGGACACUCAACAAUGGUCAUGCAAUUUGUGAAUUCAGAGGCAUGCAAGCAACAUGAAGCCAAGUAACUCAUCAUAGCAAAAAUUAGGCAUCAAAAGCACACGGUGAUUCUAUUAUGAUUACCUAAGAAAAUUCAUCUUCCAACUUCAUAUUUGCAAAGUUUGAUUCGAAAUUUACAUAAUACACUUCUAUGCGACAACUCGGUAAAAUAAGGAUCCAAUCUCUUGCUAAUGAUCAUAAAAGGACAACAAAAGUUAUAAAACAUAUUUCAGUCAAUUCAUGCACCUAUGAGCAUCUAAAAAGUACAGUGAUCAUUUAUUUUCAUAAAAGAAUGUCCAACCAUCCCAAGUGCAUAGUCUCAGAAUUUCACCUCUCAUGCUUGCCUGGGCAUACUUAGAUAGUCUUAAAUUUCAGUUGUUCCUUGGUAGCUUAUGCCGAUUGAUUUCACACAAAAAGAAACACAACUCAUAUGAGCACCAAAUGACAACAUGAUCAGGAAAGAAAGAUAAAACAGCUCCACAGCCUGACGUUUCCUUUUUUUAAUUUAAUUGCUUGGUGUAUCUUUUAUUGGUUUUCUUUUCUUAAAAUUCUUCUUAGUUCCAUGUAUGUUUGCACAAUUUAAUUAGGAUAUAACACAAACAUGGCCUACUGAAUUGCUGCAUAAAAUACACAAGGGAUUUCUCAAUAUGGCUUUAAAAGGCAUAUUGACCACAAUUUAGCCAGUCAGAUAUUAAGACAUCAUUAUUCCAUCCAUAAUACCUUAAGAAAUAUAUAAUUUACCUAAGUUUAAGAAAAAUCUGUUUGUUUAUAGCAACAUAUACAGUUAUUAGUGAGCUCCAUAAUUUAAGGGUCAGAGCCCAACUGCUCAAGGCUUGAACUAAUCAUUUGACUACAACUGUGAAAAAUAUUCAGGGAAGCCACAUCUUGGGUGCUCAAUAUGAAUGUUUCCUUCAAAAAGAUGAACAAAUAAAGUAAAACUGCCUGAUUUACACCCUUUCAAGUAAUACUUUCCAUCAUUAAUGUGUUAUAAUGGUGAGUGGUGGCAUCAUUAUAUAUAAUAUAAUUGGUCAACUGCUACAUAAACAUUAUGGCAGUGCAAUUUGGGUUUGUUCAAAUUCAGACAAACACACUAUAUCUAUAAAAAGAGAAUAAUCAUCAUAUACUUUCCAAUUGGUAAAAUGGAAAGAAAUUAUAACCUUUAAAGAAAAGUGAAUUUACAUGAUGAAAGCAAACAAACAAACGAACCUAUUGGGAUUAAGAUAGCUACAACUCUGCAGUACCCCUGGAAUCUCCUCAUUGACGUGGAAGUAUAUGCUGCAAUGCCUUCAUAUGUCACAAUGUAGACCAUUGCAUAAAAAAGAAGCAACCCAUCCAUCAUAGAAUCACCAACUGUAAGAAACCAACUAGUAGAGGCCUAGAGAAGGAAAUUAUCUAUCAUGUGGAAAACCACAUCAGCACCAUCAGAAUUCAACCAAUACGACUUCACCUGAAUAUAUGAGCAAGAUGAUGACAAAAAUGAGAAAAGCACAAACAAAUCAAGUAUUACUGGGUGGCAAUUAAUUUUAAUCCAAACCACUACAUUUUCAUUACUAUACAAGAACUAACAAUCAAAAUGUAACUGCCCAAAAAUUGAUGUGAGGACCAUUGGCUAAGCCAACAUUAUAUAUACUGAACUUGCCAACACAUGGCUGCCCUCAAGCCUUGAAAGCAGCUGCUCCAUGCAAAAAUACUGAUGGAUUGGUCUGUCUCCAAAUUCUGCCCAGAUCACAUGCUGGUGGUACCAUUCUAGAAAACAAUAUGAAUAUAUACCUAAUGGUGACUGUUAAAUUUACCAGCAACUGAACCACUAAAAAUCCAUGGGCUUGUAACAAAAUAUACUACUUAAGUUUUAAAAUUCGGAUUAAAAUGUGGAACAACAAAAUAUAAACUACACCUUCCAUCCAAGUUUCCUAUGAAUGUCAUUUUUUUUGGCUAUUUAAGGUUAUUUUAAGAAAAUGCAAUGGCCAAGCUUCACUCAUCUUAACAAGGCUUUCCUGAAAGGACAGCAUGAACUACUAUAUCAGACUUGUUAUGUGUUUAACAAUAUUCCUCAUAACAUCUUCUAUCACUUGCCAUUUUAAUAAUUUUACCACGUCCUAUCAUAAUUGGAACAGAUUGUCAAGCCUAUACCUAAGCUAAUUGCAUAAUGGCAUAGCCUAUAUUUGUCUAGGCAUUUUAACAACCAUCAAGCGAGUUCAUUUGAAAAAAGACAAGUCACAUUUAUUUAGAAACCCACUUCCAGACAAUUUGCAAAGUUGACCUUAAUUGUGCAAGUUUUCCUUAUUUCCCCAUCUGAGAUGGAGAUAUUUUAUUUUCAUUCAUCACAAGUAUAGUGAAAAGCAAUAAGACUGUCUAAGAAGAUCUGCAGAAGAAGAGAAAAAAACUGCAGAGGUUAUGGAAGAACCAAUCAGCUAUAGAACUUGCCUGAAUGGUAUUGUGAGCAAUAUACCGUUGUUUGCUUUUAUGAAAGCUAACAUCUACACGUUCCCAAGGUACUUGAGUUAGUCCUUUGAUCAUCUCUUCUACAUAUUGAAAGAGAGGAUACUCAUGAAAAAAUGAAGCAUGACAAAAAAUAAAAAUAAAUAAAUAAACAAAUUAAGAAAAAGGGUAACAAAUAGAGGAGGCUGGUGUAUGAAAAUCAAACCCAGUCAUCAGAGAAAUAACGAGCAAGCACAAAGAAACCAACUUUAAGUAUCCAACUUAAGCUGUAUGAACUCCAAGGGAUACCAAGUUCCAAGCCUAGAAAACAAUAAAAUGUUUCUCUCGCUCCAAGUAACAUUUGAAAAAUAGAGAAAAAAAGAAGUUUGACCAACCUUCUAAAUCAGUUGUUUGCUUUCCAACAACAAGAGUUUUUUUAUCAGAAUUGUGGUCCCCUCUUUCUCUCUCCACAUAAACAAUAUGUGGAUAUUUAUUAUCUGUCACAAGAAGAUUGGACUGGAGAUGAAGAUGGAGAAAACAUUUGAAUUAGUUUUGUCAAAGAAAAAAAGAAACGGAAAAGGAAAUGCAUCUCUAAAUAGACAUUUGGCAAAUAAAGCUGAAUUAAGGAAAAAAAAAAAACCUUGGGAAGUUCAUUUUGCCGCCUAAUUGAUGAUGUUCCCCAUCCAACUAUAUCUAAUACAAGUCAAGGCAAAUGUACUCUGGCAUAAAGGUAGAGAUGACACCUCAGAUAUGGAAGGUAUCCAUAAUUCAAAGGCAAAUUUGAGUGAGAAAAAGGAUACGAUCAUAAUUUGCAUUUGCAUAUACCACACGACGCUUGAAUGCACGUAAAGCUGAUCUACACAUCAUAAACAAUGUUACCAGAUAUUUAUCCAUGAAUAGACUGAUGGGUUACCUAUUAAAAAUAGUGUGGUAGAUAUACUUACAUGAAUCUUAAGCCAUCAGAAUCAUUAACCAUUUGAAGGAGAAGAGGUAUCCCAUUAUCAUUGUCUGUUAGGAACAGAUGCUUUCCUGUCCUUCCAACUAUUAAAUGAGCAGUCUGAGAUGCUCUUCUCUCAAGGAAAGGAAGACCACAGAGAAUAGGGAGCUGUAGAAUCAAGACAAGAAACGCAUAAAAAUACAGAAAAAGCAUGGUACCAGAAAUACAUUAUCCAAAAGGUUUCUAGAAAACUAGAAUAGAAGUAACGAAUCACUUAAGGUUCUCAAAAAGAACGUUCUUAGUAUUAAGAAUCUAUUUUUCUCAUCAUUUAUUAGUCAUACGAGAACAUCAACCUCCAAUCACAUGUUAAGAUUUCUAAUAGCAUCCUAACCAUGCUAAAGUGUUUUGAAUAAGAUCAUUUCAUUCCAAAAUCCCUUUCUGCAUUCAGAGAUCCAGGACCUAUUAACCAAUACUCCUAAACAUUCUAAACAAUUAAGGAAGGAAAAAAAGAACAAAGAUAAUUAAUUAAAAUUCAAGUAAAAUAAUAGAAGAAUUCAACAUAGAAAUCCAAGAGUCAAGAAGAUGAUUAAUGCAUGUGGGUUGAACAUAAUGACAAAAGCAAGCAGAAGUAUUGUUCUCUUAACCUGUUUAUUUCCCCUUGAACCCAGAUGAGGUGUUGCAAAUGUUAUGAAGUUCACAGGUUCCAAUCCAGCAAUUCUAGCUUCACAUGGCUGCUCAAGACAGUGCAUUGAAUUUGUGUGCUCUUCAUCCAAGGAAUUUUCAGUGAGAUUUGAAAGGGCUGAUUUAGGUAAAUUUUCAUACAGCCUGGCUAUAGCAUAUCUUGCAACAAGUCCACCUAGUGAGUGAGCCACAAAGGAAAUUUUCCGCACCUCAGGCCUGUGUCUAACAACUGCCAAUACCUGCAUUAGAUAUUUUACCAAGAACUCAAGAUUCACAUGAAAAGGCUUAUGGAGAUUUUCUGACAUAACAGAUUGUUUAAACAAAAUUACCCUGAACUAAAAUCUGACUGCCAAACAUACCUCUUCAGCUAGCCUGUCACCCAUCAAAUCAACACCAUCAAACGUCAAUUUUGAAUGGUUGCAUUCACUGCCUGCUUAUAAGAAUAUCAAGUCAAAAACCAAAAACAUUGACAAAGAAAUAACCACGGAGUACAAAUUGGAAUUAAAAUAAAAAAAACCACAUGGAAUCAUUCUAGGCAUCAUAAGUUUACAUAAAUAUCGCUAGGGGUGUUAAACAAACCGACCAAACAAUUAAACCGUAAAAACCAGGAAAAAUUAACCAAAAACACCGAAUUGAGAGAAAAAACCGAUCAAACCGAUUUAAAAAUCAAGUAACAGACUCGGUCCGGUUUGGUUUUGGUUUUAGAAAUUGAAACUAGGUAACUGAACUGGACCCAAUGUUUGAGAAAGGCUUAAACCCACUUAAAAAAAAAAGGGGGUAUAAAAAGAAAAGUAAGCUAACCUAAGUUUCCUAACCCUAAAAAUUCCACCCCCCCCCCUCUCCCACUGAAAACAGCAGUCAGCAGCCAUCUCGUUCCAUCCUUUUCUCUUCCAUCUCCUCCCUCUAUGUUAACUCCCCCUUCUCGUUCUCCCCCACUUGAUACAAGAUCUCAAUCGGUCGUCUCCCCCUGCCUUCUCUAUCAUUCCUUCUUUUCAUCAUAGACCCACUCUGAAAACGCCAGAAUCUGGCUUUGUAGGGUAAGAUUUCUUCUUUUUUCUCUGAGGUAUUUAAGAAACUGUGGAUACUUGCAUGCCUCAAGCAUAAGUAAUUGAUAGAUUUUGAUAUGGACUUUUUACCAAAAGAAAGAAAGACGGUUUUUGCUUUCUGUUUUAAUUUUCAUUUUAUAGCGGGAUUGAUUUUACCUAAAGUCUGAUUGUUUCCUAAGAAAAUUUCUUUCAUGAGAUGAAGCACAAGUUAUUGAUAGAUUUUGCAACAAUUUGUUAAGACUUGCAUCAACAGAUCUGCAAUGAACUGCCGUUUCUGUUUCUCUUUGUUUAUUUUGUCAAAAAAAGAAAAAAUAAAAUUAUUUUGCUUGAUUUUCUCGUCAAUAAAUCAAAGCAGACACGGAAACCCAUUUUUAUUUAUCUACUGUGAAGAAGCUUCCUUUGCUUUGAAGAGAUUAGAUUUUCUGGUUUCAAGCCUAAAACUGAACUUGACCAAAUCGAACCGGUUCAGUUUGAACUGGUUAUCGGUUCGGUCCGGUCCAUUUUCUAGCAAAAAUUCAUCUCCCAGUUCAGUUGGAAUUUUGGGCCCUAACUGGACCAUGAACACCCCUAAAUAUCGCAAUUCAGAAAGCGAUGAAACAAACAUUUUACAACAUAUCAAAAUUGGGAUAACUAACUUUGGCUUUCACGCACAAAAACCAGGUUAGCGUCAAUGAAUUUGAAUGUUGCAAUUUCUUUGAACUCAGACCGCCCAUAAGCAGAUCAUCAUACCAAAAUACAAGUAUCUUCUAAAAUGCAAAAAAUUAAGCUAUUAUAUGUGGCUUCUAUCAGAACAUGAAAGAACCACCCUCAAAUGAAUGACAGAAGAGGUCAUAAGCAAGCACUUACGAUGCACAAGUAUUUUGUCAGGAAGUUUUUUCACAAACUGAUCUGCCGCAUAUCUCCAAUCUGCAGAACUGUACCCACAAAAAUGAAAAACAAAAAUCCAACACUAAAUUUUUUCUCUCAGAGUUCAUAACCAACCUACGAACAGUAUUAAACCUGAAACACUAAAUUGGAAUCAAAUUUAAAGCUCAAUACUAGCGAGACCCACAAUGUAAGAUAAUUCAAAAAUUCUAGUAAACAAGCUUAGAAGGGCGCUAGCUAGCUAAAGUCUUCUUCCCUAAUGAUAACAAUAUAGACUAAAAUAACUUAUUUUUCUAUUUGCAGAGUGACCGAAGGACGCUAGAUAGCUAUAGUCUUCUUCUCUACUGAUUAUAAUAUAGACUAAACUAAUUUAUUUUCUAUUUGGAGAGGGACCUCAUGAUUUGUUCCUCAAAAUAGCAAUAGAAAUUCAUCAUAUCUUUUGGAUUUUCAAUGGAGCACUUAAAAAGGAAUAACACGAUAAUUAAUGAUGGUAAUCCGAAAAUUAAAAAAAAAAGUAAAAUUAUUGUUACCUCCCAAUAAUACCAUUAACCAUGAUAACAAGAUGCUGAGGCGAAACCCUAGCCUCUGCAACAGCUGCAUCCAUAAAAUCCUCACCGCCACUUUCAACCUCCACCUUGAGUACUUUACUGUCAGUUCUCUUAUUAAAACACCUGAAAUUCAUCCUCUUCCGUAUCCAAUCCAUUUUGGCCGGAUCCGCUCCUGAAUGGAGAGGAAAGGAGAAAGAGUUGGUGGUGUGAAUGAAAACGGCAGUGUGUUUGGGUGGAGAGAGUGGAGAGACGGCGGCGAUCAUGCGGGGCAAAGAAUCAUCGAAGAAAACAGAAAGAGAGAGAGAGAGAGAGAGAGAGAGCGAAAGAAGAGUGUAUUAGGAGUAGAAGGAAGGAUGGAAUGUGAAAAAUGUGGGGAGAGAGGGGGCGGGGGGGAAUGUUUGGAAUGAAAUGGGGCUAUCAUCAAUCUAUAUCAAUUUAUGUAAAAGUGGUUAGAAAACGGGUUUUUCCGUUUUCACCAUCAUAAUGGCGAAGGCUUCAAGUUGAGAAAAUUAAGAACUUGAAAAUCCAAAACAGAUUGAUUAGAAAAAAAUAUAUAUAUGUUUGGUUCUGAUUCAGUUUCAAAAAUCCAAAACCAAUUGAACCAGACCUGUUCAAAAAAAAAAAAAAGGAUAUACAAGCUUAUUUUAAAUUAUAUGUUUCUACCACGAAGAAUUGGUCAUCUCAAGUAAAACAGGUCUCAUGUCGUAUUCCAGAUCUCAAAUUCACCUCUGGUUUUCCCUGGAAGAUCUUCGUUUGGAUAGUGACUAAUUUCAGUAUGCGGUAGUAUAGAUAGAUUUUAAAAGUAUUUUUUAAUUAAAAAUAUAUUAGAAUAAUAUAUAUUUUUUAAUUUUUAACAUUAACCCAUUAAACUCUUAAAACAAUUUAAAACAUAUUAAUUUAAUAAUUUUUAUUUUAAAAACAUUCUAAAAAUCACCCCCUCCAAGCACCACCUUUGUUUUGUUGUCUUUGUUUUGACAUAUCUACUAGUAUAUUUGUUCACAUUCUAUUAUGGGUCGGAUUUAGAAAAAAUAAUAAAUAAAAUAUUGAGUAUAAUUUUUUUUUGACAGUAUUAUUAAAUUAAAUUAAACAGUUUGAUCUUUAAACUUAUCAAUCCAACACUUUUCCUAACUUGAGUUUCGAAUUAAAUCGUGUGGAAGCUAAUUUAAAAUUAAUUGUUCAAUUUAAUAGGUCCAAAAAUAAUUUGGAUGACCGGUAAAACCAUACAUAACUUUUUAAAAAACUUUAAGAUGAAUUUUUUAUAUAUAUAUUUAGACAAUACUAAAUUGGAUCGACCUUAGUCACCCUGCGACCUCAAUCAUAGACUUUAAUGGGAUUAAUAAUUUUUUAUUUUUGUAAAUUAUUUUUAUUUAAUUUUAUAAUGACAUUAGAUACCUUCAAAAUCGAGCAUUAAUUCUAAAAAAACAUUUAUUUGAGAUCAUGAUAACCCUAUAAAAAGUAAAAAAAAUAAAUUAUGAAUUUCAUUUCUCAACCAAUCCAAUAUUAAAUAAGAGUGAAAUAAAAAACAAUAUCAAUUUUAAUGGGUAAACCAACUAAACCCGUGAAUUAGAUAACUCAUGUCAACACAUCAAACUCGCAAACUAGGUAAUGAAUAUCACUGGAAUCAAUAACUUGUUUUUUUCCCUCCUAAACUAUUGUUUAUUUAAUUAUAUAAAAACAAAAAUAGACAAUCUUAAGGAUGAAAUUGAAAAAAAUUAAAUUUAUAUAAAAAAAAAAAAAAAAAAACUCGCCAUACACGUCAACAAGCCAUGAACUUUCUAAAACCUAAUAACAUGUUUUUUUAUUCCAAAAGUAUUUUAUUAAUUAUAUGAUAAAAAAAUAGACAAUUAUAUGAUCAAGUUUAAUUAAAAAAGGGUAAUCAUGGUUAUCUCAUCAAACUCGCAAACUGGGUUGUUGACUCCACAAAGUUUAAUAAAAUGAUUUUUUAAGUUAUUUUUUAUUUAACUAAUUUUUAUAUAAAAAAAAAUCAUACCAUGAUGCUAAGAUAUUUUUUUGAUACCACUCCAGUGUUGGGAUAUUUUUUUAAUACUGUAAUAAUCAUAUAAAGACAAAUUAAAAUAAAUUAUCUAAAUCCCCGUAAACACAUCAUGACUAAAUUAAAAAAAAAUCAAUAAAACCCCCCCCCCCCAACACUUUUUAGCUUUAUUUAUAAUACAUAACUUUAUUUUAAACAUGAAGACUAAAUCAAACCUAGCCGUCCCCACCCCUUCAAGCUUUCUCUUAAUGGUCCUCUCAAGCUUUGUUUGAUUAACAAGAAUGAGAUUAUUACUAGUGAACCACCUAGUAGUUCUCAAUGUCGGCAGGAUGGUUUGAGCUUUGAAUUUUUUAUUUAUUUACUAGAAAAUAGUUUUUUUAAAAAAAUAAAUUUUGAAAAAAUAAAUUUCGAAAUGGUGAAUUAUUUUUUAAUGUUUGGUAUUAUAAUGGAAUAAAAUAAGUUGAAAAACACUUUUUAGUGUUUGGUUAUGUCAUGGAAAAUAAGUUGGAAAAUAACUUAUUAAUAUUUUAUUUUUUUCAAGUUUAUUAAAAUAAUGAGAAACAAAUCUUACAAAUUAAAAAGUUGAAUAAGAAUGAAAUUGAAAAAAAUAUAAUUUUAUAAAUUAUCAAAAAAAAAAAUCAAAACAAUAAAGAUCAAAUCUAAGAAAUAAAAAAAAAUGAAAGAUGAAGAAAUUAAAAUAAUAAUAAUUAACAUUUUAUAAAUUAUUUCAAAUAAAAUAAGUAACAAUCAAAAAAAUGAUAAUGAAAUUUAAUAUAAUUAGCAAAUAACAUGAUAUUUCUAAUUUUUUCACAACUAUCGAAAAGUAUUUUUUGCUAAAAGUUUCAGGAAAAUACUUUCUAGAAAUCAAGCUAAAUUUUUCUUUAACUGAAAAGUGUUUUCUGUUGACCAAUUUUCUAAUAAUAAAUAAAUACAAAAAAGUUUAAAAUAUAAAUUUUUUAAAUAUCACUUUUCGAGAAACAAAUAUAACCUUAAUGAAAAACAGGGUGUGUGUAUGUAUGUAUAUACGUGUGUGAAAAUAUUUCACAAGUAUUUAUCUUCGUUAAAGUUUCUGGGUUUUUUUUCUAUACCGCCACAUCACAUGACAUGCCAUUGUUGCCAUUUUUUAUAUAUUCUUACAAACAAACAAUUUAUGUUGCCACCUUUUGUGUUCUAGAAUUUUCAUUGCAUAAUACAAACAAGAGAGCUCACGGGCAUAACAUAAGCAGUUCACGAGCCACCUUCAAUCAUGGAUCACCCCUCCCAACAACUUCCAUACCCGUCCACGAACAUUUAUAAUGCUUGUCGAACACCAUCCAAUUUACACCACGAAAGCAAAUUCCUAUUAAGCAAUGACUGGGCAUUGUGCUCCACACUCCAUUGCUGCGUUUGGUUCCAUUACACCAUACACUAACUCCCAUGGGUUCUUGAGAUCGAUAUAAAAGAAAGAGGGAGCGCCAAAGUGAGCGCCACCAACCGCUUCAUAGCCUUACCAUCACCCCUGCUCUGAAAACAAUGAGAGCACAAUUGUUCUUCGUCCUUAUUCACUUCACCAUCAUCACUACCAACAUCAUUUUAGUCACUUCCCAGUCAUCUUCAUUAGCAGAAACACCGCUAAAAAAGGUUGAUAAUGAGACCAUUUACAAGGUCUCCAAGCAGCUCUGUUGGGGUUGCUUAGGAGAGUCACUGCAAUUCUUGUUUGCGCAUAAUUUAGUUAGGGCAGCCAAAUGGGAGCUCCCCUUGAUGUGGGACUUUGAGCUUCAAAAAUAUGCAGGGUGGUGGGCUGGCCUGAGAAAAGCAGACUGCAAACUGCAACAUUCGUUCCCUGAAUAUGAUUUCAAGCUUGGAGAAAACAUUUACUGGGGGAGCGGCUCCACAUGGACACCGACCGACGCGGUGGGUACCUGGGCCGGUGAAGAGAAGUACUAUGAUUAUGCACAGAACACAUGUCAGGAGGGUCAAAUGUGCGGACACUAUACACAGAUUGUGUGGAAGACUACGAGGAGAAUUGGGUGUGCUCGUGUUGUCUGUGAUGAUGGGGAUGUGUUUAUGACUUGUAACUAUGAUCCUCCUGGUAAUUAUGUUGGUGAGAGGCCAUAUUAACGCGUACCAUAAUAAAUCUAGUAGGGUUGGAUGAUGCAUGAUCAGUACAGGAUUGCUUCCCAAGUAUUUUCGUGCUCAAUAUGAUUACAAAACUUGUAUAUAUGUACGGGUGAAUUAUUGCAGUAUUUACCUCCAUGAAUUUAAAAUAAAAUCGAUCUCAUAUGUAGUAAUAUAGGAUCAAUUUAAAUACUAUUCCUAAAUUACUGUUCCUUUUGCACAACUUGGUAUUUAGCUCACUGGUACUCUUUUACUUUUGAAGGAGAGAAGUCUGCGGGUUCCGCUCAUGCUCUAAUUAUUGGAGAAUAUGAGAAGCGUCUUUGCAGAAAGUCUGGUACAAGGUUUAUGAAGUUAUUUGAUGAGGAUAAAUGCAUAAAUUAAUAUUGAUUUAUUCACCAUGAGGGUUGUUAAGCCUCUGCAAUUACUGCCUUCUUGGCUUUUAGGGAGGCAAACUCAAUCAGGGGUAUAUAUAAGAAAUAUAUAAAUAAACGCAUAUUAAUAAAAAAAAAUUAUAAAAAAAACAUACAUAAUCAUAAUCAGUCCAGGAGAUUGGUCAUGAAGUUCCACCAAACACUCUUCUCGUUUUAAAAAAAAAGGUGCUUUGGUCGCACGUCGUUAUAUUCAGUAACAAGGUAAAAUUUGGGCUAUGCCCAGAAGGUUCAUCUAAUUUUGGACAAUAAUUGAAAGUAUUCUUGUUGCGACAUGAUGAUGCUUGACAAAGCUUCAUUGUAUCGAGGCUUUUCUAACGGGCAACAACAAGACAAAUGAGGGCAUUACCUACAAAGAGUUGGAUAUUUUCCUCUUUCUUGUGAUAAGAAAAUCUUUUUUUUUUUUUUUUUUGCUAAAACAUGUGAUAUAUAGCUGGAUAAAUGUGAAAAAAUCUAAAAAUUAUAUAGGAAUGUUCAAGAUGGCAAUUCUAUUUUUUUUUAUGUAGAAUUAUAGCUUGUAAUAAAUAACAAGAGAUGGGAAAGAGAGAUAAAGAACUCGGCUAGGCCUCGACCCUAUUAAGUUUGGUGUGGUGUGGGGCUCGGUUGGAUUAGACCUAACCGAGAAUGUUACUUGGUUAGGCUGAGAGGGCCAACUAAGUUUACACUUUGUUUUAUACUAUCAUUAUUAUUUGGCUUCAAAUUUACACAUUUUUUUAUAUCAUCAUCAUCACAAUAAAAAUGACAACCGAAUAAACUUUUCUAGUUAAUGGUCCACUUCAAAAAAUGAAAUAUAAAGUGUGAGCACUUUCUAUUAUAGUUGUUAUAUAUAUGGACUUCGAAAUACGUACGAUGAUUUAAUGUAGUAAACAUUAAAGUUGAGUUGAAUAAGGAUUUGAUUUGGAUAAAUUUAUUUAAUUUGGUAAAACUAAAUUGAAUUUAUUAAAAUCAGUUGAAUCAAAAGUUAAUUUAUUUUAAAAAAAAAUUGAUAAAAAAACUAAAUUGUUUAGAAUAGGAUUUGAAACUUUUAUUUUAUUAACUAAAAACUUUUACAACCAACCAAGACCAACAUAUAUAAAAAUAUUUAAUUUUAAUAUUCAAUAUUAUAAUUGAUCUAUUAGAUUAACCCACUAAUCCGAGGGGUUGACUCAUAAUUGUGUGACCGAGAUAUUUUAUCGAAUUUAACAACUAUGAUUUCUUUACUCAAUAUCCCUUUGAUUUAUGAUGGAGAUAACCCUAUUAAACCUAACCCGAUCAACAGGCUGAUAUAAGAAUUUUAUGACUCAAGAGCUAAUUAUGAUCAAAUUUAAAAUUAAAUCAACUAUGAGAUAUUAAAAUAAAAAAUAAAAUAUUGUCAUUUUAGCAUUUCAUAAAAAUAAAAUGUGAUCCAAUCCAAUGAUUGGAUUACUUGUAUUAUUUAUCAAAUUCAAAACUCGGUUGUAAAUGACAAUUAUAUUGAUACCAUAAGUUAAAACUCACAUUAUGACAUAAAUUAUGUUACCUACAUGGAAACUAUAUAUUUUCCCUUGUACUUUUUAUGUUUGUUUAGUAACGUGGUGUAUGGUGCUUUUUAAAAAUAAUUUUCAAUUAAAAUUACAUUAAAAUAAUAUUAUUUUAAAAAUUUUUUAUUUUUUAUAUUAAUAUAUCAAAAUUAUUAAAAAAUAUCUUAGAAAUAUUAAUCUUAAAAAAAAACAAUUUGAAAAAAAAAUAACUGUUACUGGUUCUCUUAUUUAAUGGGUGAGUUGAUGUUUUAAUAGCCUGGUGGCUGGUUAUCUUAUUUAAUGGGUGGGUUGAUGUUAAUUACUCUGUUAAAUUCCUUUACAUGAUAGUAACUACAGGCUACCACUCUUUAAUCUAAAGUUGCAUUAUUUAUAAUUGUUAAAUAUAAUUUACACACAAUAAGAACUCUAAUUAUAAUUUAAAGGUCUAAAUUAAAAAGAUUAUGGAUUUAUCUUAUAUAUAAUCAUCUCACAUUUUCCACUUUUAAUUUAUAAAAUAAUUAUCACUCACACAUACAUUCAACACAAAUUAAAGGUACAAAUGAUGAAGGCGUGGGAUCCAAAAUACUGAAGAUUAAAAUUACAGUGAAAGGAAGAGAAGUUGAAACUGAAAAAAUUUGAAUAUUUUUUAUUUUUUUAUUUUAAAUUAAUAUUUUUAAAUGUUUUCAAAUCAUUUUGAUAUACUAAUAUUAAAAAUAAUUUUUAAAAAAUAAAAAAUAAUAAUUUUAAUAUAUCUUUAAAUAAAAAAUACUAAUUUUUUUUACCAAAACUACAGCUUCAAUAGACAAAGAAUACGACGAAGAACAACGAAAGGCAAGAAGCCGCACGUUAAUAUUGAAAAAAAAUCUAAUUGCCACUAGCAAAAGCAGUAGUACAGCUUUAUUCAACCCUCCCUUUUUUGUCCCUGCUUAUUAUUUUUAAUGUUAUAUUGAAAUUUAUUUUACAAUAAAUACAUAUGAUAUAAUUUAGUUAUCACAUGAGAUUGGAUUUCCACACAAAAGAGAAAAAAGAAACAAAAGGAAAAACAACUACGCAAAAACUUCAAGAAACAUUCAAUAAGGCUUUUCUCCUAUGUAAUUCCCAGGAGGAUCAUAGUUGCAGGUCAUGAAAACACCUCCUCCACCAAAACAAGUCACUCUAGCACACCCAAUUCUUCUCGUAUUCCUCCACACAACUUGAGUAUAAUGUCCACAUUCUUCGCCCCGGGCACAAGAAUUAGACCUAUAAUCAUAACAUUUACGCUCCGAGACCCACGCCACGGCCGCCUGAGCUGGAGUCCAGUCACUGCCACUACCCCAGAAGAUGUUCUCGCCGUAAGGUCCGUUAGAAUGCUUUAACGCACAGUCAGAGCGCCUCUGGUUGGCGUACCAUUGUGCGUAACGUUCCAAUUUUGCAUCCCACACUAAUGGUCGGAUCCUCAACGAGGCUCGGACAGCAUUUUGAGGAGCCAAGAAUCGGUUUGCCGUGCUAAGGUAGGGAUUUGGUCGUUUUGUGAUGACAGCAUGGGAGCUUGAAAUGAGAAGGAUAAAAAUGGCGACGGAAGCAUGCCAGGAAUGCAUUUGCAGAAAAAAUAAUUUAACCUUUCAUUCGGGAAUUUUAGAAGGGGUCAUUGUAUACUUAUAUUUAUGAGGAUUUGGUAGAAGAAACAUUAGAAGGGGUAUUUAAGUCAAAUAAGGGUGGCACCCAUGUUCGAUCAUGAUUGCCACAUUUGUUUUUGUGGAGGACCUAAGUUUUCUUUCCGCAAUUUCAUAAUUUUGGGGGAGCCCCCCUGCUUCUCUUUCAAGUGCACCUCCACACCCCUUAUUUUUGACAAGACGACACAGAGAAACACAAGUUUAGGGUGGAAGGAAAAAUAUAUAUUUUUUAUAUUUGAAAAAUAUUUUUGAAAAAAUUAAUUUUUUUUAGUUUUUUUUUUCAAAUUAAUAUAUUUUUAUUGUUUUAAAAUCAUCUUGAUGCACUAGUAUAAAAAAUAAUUUUUUAAAAAUAAAAAAUAUAUUAUUUUAAUACAUUUCUUAGUUAAAAGUACUUUGAAAAGUAAUCAAAAUCACAUUUUCAAACAGAUAAAAAACAAUAAUAAUAAUAAAAAAAGGUUCUAUUUAAAAUUUAUUUUUAAAGUGCUUUUAAAUAUUUUUAACUGAAAAAAACAUUAAAUUCAUGUUUUUUAAAAAAAAAAUUAAUGAUUUUAAUAUAUUAAAAAUAUAAAAUAUAAAAAAAUUAUUUUAAUAUAUUUUCAGUUAAAAAGCACCACAGUAUAUUACCAAAUAAUUCAUAUAUUAAAUUUUUGCGUCUUUAAUGAGGUAAAUUGAAAUCUCAUUGUUUAUCUUAUGUAGAGACAAUAUGUUCAUGGCCCGAUUUGGUAUUGCUGAAGAAAAUUAAGUAUUGAUCAUCUAUUUUAGAUUGUAAGUAAUUAUGCUUUAGAAAUACAACAACAUCAAAUAAAUAUAAUAUUUAACUAAUCUUUCUCGCAAAGAUAUUUUUCGUUUUUUUUAUAUUAUAUAAAUAGAAAAGGUAUAAUAUUGGUUAUCAAAUGUAGCCAUUCCAGCUAAAUAAACAAGUAUAUACUCCGGAUUCUAUCUAAUGUACAGAUUAUAGACUUGUUCAAGUGAAAGCUGUCAUAUUUUAGGGCCUUUAUUCCAUAUUUAAGCAAGAUCUGAUUAAUUAAACAUAUCUAGCUUUGCCGAAGCCCAAUAAGAACACAACACGUUACAUGUAAUUGUAAUAUAAUAAAUGGUUGAACCAUAUAGCAGGUAGCUUAGUAAUUAAAUUUUGGAAUAAAAUAUUUGCUUUUCUUUUUUAGCGAUAUAAUUGCUAUUAAAAAUUUAUAUAAUUAUUAAUUUUAAAAUCUAAUUAAUUAAUUGAGGUAUAUAUAAAUUAUCCGGAUAUCUAUAUUAAAAAUAAUAAUAAUAAAGGCUGUCCUAGAAAAUGAAAAUAUGUGGUUACAAUUUUCAAUGUUGGGAAAGAUUUUAUUGUAUAAUUAAUGCAGGGAAACUGGAAAUACUCUGACAUCUUUGCUCUACCGAAAAAAGAAAGAAAGAAGACAACGACAUGAUUGGGAAGACUUUUGAUGAGCUAACGUUAUUAUGUAGUCAUCACUUUUGUUGGCCAAAGAUGCCCAGUGUUCUUCACAAAUGUCAAUGAUAUGAGUUGUCGUGGAAAUAUUUAUAUGCUCAAAUCCUCAAUGCUGCCCCAAUCAACGGAGAGAUUGAAGCACUUGAAUUAACGGAGCCGACAAAUCAGCGGAUAGGUUUCGACUGAUUUCGAGUGUUCCGAUUCAUUUUUAUUUAAUUUUUCUCUUGGCUGUUGUUCAAAAGAAUAUAUAUUAAUUAUUUCUGUGUUUUUUAAAUGUAUUAUUGGUUGAAAAGUAUCUAUGAUUUUCUUACCAAAUCCAACCAGACUCCUGACUUUUCAAUUCUUUAUUAUUAUUAUUAAUUUUCGUCUAUGAUCGAUCCAGUUGACCCGGGGCUACAACUAGAUCAGGUUUAAAAAAAAUAAAAAAAGUCAAAUCCCGGGAUAAUCCGACAAGACUCGAUUAAAAAUCCUAUUGUAAUUUGUUGGAUUUUUUUUUUAUUAAAAUGAUGUCGUUUUGAUUUUAAAAAACUCUUUAUUGACCCGAGUAAUCUGAUGAUCUGGUUAAAACCCAAUGACUUGGUUAAAACUCAGAACCCAGACUUUAAAUCAAGCCGACUAUUGAGCCAGGUUUUAAAACUCUGCUGUCGGUAGUGUUUUCUUCCCACUUCCUCCCAAUUUUCAUUGACAAAAGCCUGAGGACGAAGGACCCGACCCGAGAUGGUGUUUAACUGUGACAUGAUAGUGGAUAUCAUAGGUAAACUUAAGAAGGUUACUUUUAGAACCCGAUGAUUUGGCUAUUCAGAGGAAGAGACAUGGCAAGUUACAGUGGAUAUCAUAGGUAUAUCUUUAUUAUCCAUCUCCUAUUUACAUCUUUUACUACAACUUUGUUUUCCAGUCUUAAGUUUAAGUCUGCACAUGAUCAUGACAUGAAUAUUGACUUUUUUUAGCUGAUGUGCUUGAAUAAAAAACAGCUUGCGUAAGAUAUAAGUUCAUGUUUCCUUGAUUGUUGUAAGAUAUCAAAAUUAUGUUUCCAAACCUUGAGACAGAUCAGGUUAAGAAUCUCAUAAUAUUGUUUCCUUCAUACAAAUCUAAAUAUGGAGUUUUCUUUUUAUGCAAAGAAUGAUGAUCAUGGAUUAUUUGAGUUGAUCUUGUUAUUAUUGUAGUUCAUAUAUAUAUGUUUUUUGUUUUGAAAAAGUCUUUUAAAGAUAAGUAUUCUGAUCUAGUUAGACAUAUAAAUGGUUUGUGAAAUUGUUAUUUGGCGGAUGUCGGCCAGGACUCCUUGUUAUCGGUGAGGAGAAAUAUAUAUCAUGGAAAAUUAUGAGUGGUCACGUAGUGGUUAAAAGAAAUUAGCAAUUCUAAAAUAUAUAGUGUUCCAGAAAUUAUUAGUUAUGCUUAAAAAAAAACGAUGUCGACAUUACAGUAUUUUUUCUUACGAAAGUUUACAUUUAUUAUAUGUUUUCUCUUAAAUUUAUCUUUUUGAUUGUCUUUAUUUAUUAUGUUUUAACUAAUUAAUUUUUUUUUACUUACUUUCGAAUCAUUUUAUGAAAAAUUUGAUGCUUCUAUCUAAAAAUAGGAAAUUUGUUGAUUGGUUAUUUGUUAAAAUCAAGUUUUUUUUAAUUAAUAUUUUUUUGAUAUUUUCAGAUAUUUUUGAUGUGCUGAUAUUAAAAAAUUUUAUUUAAAUUUUUUUUAUUAAAAAGUAUUUUUUAUCAUAUGUAAAAAGAAGAAUGUGAGAAACCAAAAUUAGUUUUUGCAAAAAAAAAAGAAAAAUUCAAAAUUACGAGGAUAAAAAUAUGCAAAAAUAACUUUUAAGAAUGACUUGGCCGCGAUGCUCAAUAUAUACUAACAUAAAUUUGAUGUUUUUAUUAUAUGUAUUUUUAUCUUUUUUUAGUAUUUUUCUUGAACAUUUAUAUACUUAACCCAAACCCACUAAACCCAUGGAUACAACCCAAAGAUUUUAGCCCAAAUUAAUGAAGCUAUAGCUAACAUUCAUCAAAGAAAAUCCAAGCUCACGGACCGUGCUAAAUAAAUCUAAGCACUUUAAAGCCAGCCCAAACUUCCUCUUUAAACAACAUAUAAAUCUAUGGAUCGGACAAAGACUUGAAGGAAUUCAUUCCAAAAGACAGGCAUUAUUUAAAACCAGGCCAAAAACAUAUAAAUCGACGGGCAGAAAAUAUAAAAACAAAGCAGUUUACCUUUAGUUUCUUGAUGGAAGCAGACCAAGAGCAACAGUAAAUGUAAUUUUCCAAACACAUCCCAGUGCAUGUAAUUUUAAUUAUUUAUCAGAUUUUUGAAGGACUAUUUUGUAAUUAAUUUUGUAUUUUUCAUUUUAUUUUUUCAUCCUUUUAAAUUUAAUAUUUUAAAUUAUGAACAAGAUAUUUUUUCGUUAUUAAAUAAACUAGUUUUUAUUUUUUAGAAAAUAUAAAAACAAAAAUUCCUUUUUUUUUAAAAAAAUGCAUUUAUGUUUUAAAUUGUAUGGCCAAGUUUUUCCAAAAACAAAAUCAUGAUUGUAUUUUUAAUAAAAAAGAAAAAUAAAAAAAAUAUAUUGCAUGGUUUAACAUUUCUUGAAAUCACCAAAACUUUUUUAAUUAAAAUAGUUUUUAUAUUUUGCAUAUAUCAUGGAUUUAAUAAAAAUUUCAUUAAAUCUAUGGGUACUUAUGUAUUAAUUUUUGACACUUGUGUAUUUAUCUUUUUGUUCAUGGUUUUUAAAGAAUCAUCUCAACUUAAAAUAUUAAACUUUUGAGUUGAAUUGUUUCUUUAAUAUAGUAUCAUAAUCUUAAUAAUUAAGCAAUCAUGAGUUCAAAUUUUACUAUUUUUAUUUAUUUGAAGAAAUUAAAUACAAAUUAGUAUGAAUAUGUACAAGUUUCAAGUUCAAAGAGCUUUUACUUGAUGAAAUGUAUAAAAAAAUAUUAUAAAUUAUAUCUUAGGACCUCAUCUAAAAAUUUAAACUUUUAAAUUGAAAUCGUUCUUCAACAAUGACACAACCCUAACUUGCACUAACUAUAAGAUGGGCAUUAAAAAAAGUCAUAUGAUUUAAGAUGAACAUUUUGAAAGUUUUUCAUUUAAAAGGAUAUUUAUUUUUUCAAGGUUUUAUAAUUUAGUCAAUGUAUAAAUAAAUUAGUUCUAUAAGAUUGAAAAAUUGUAUGAUAUUUAUGGUAUAAUUAUCAAUAUUUAUAACAUUAAAAGAAAUAUAAACAUUAAAAAAAUACAAUUUUGAUUUAAAUAAUAUAUUAGUUAUAAAUUCAACUGUCCCAUAACAUCAUUUAAUUAAGAACUACACAGCAUAAAAAAAAAACUUAGAUAACAUGACAAGAUUCAAACAUAGUAAAAAUAGAUUUUAUAUGUAAAUAAUGUAUUUAUAUGUUCGAUCUUACAUAUUAUUUUAGUUCAUAAGAUAAAACGCGCCUUUUCAUGGUUAAAUUUUUUUUUUUUUUUAAAUAAUCUUAUUUUGGGUAAAAAGGUUGUUAAACUUUGUUGAGCAGAAAAUUCAAGGCGAGGCCAUUUCAAGCCGCUAAAUACUCUAUAUAUACCAAGCUAUUUCUGUCCUCGUCCACAUCCACCUUUCACUUGUUGCAAACUCUUAGGUGCGCACGUUAACACCUCCCCCCUAAAGAUAGCCACACACACGCAAUCAACCUUCCCCUUCAAUCCGCCAUCAACCUCUAGAUCUUCAUCAAUUUCUCCCCUGUAACAACUACUCCAUCAAAUGCUCACCAAUAUCUGAAGCACAUUGUGCAUGAAAACACAGGGCAUAAACCUAAAUAGUAUCCAUUAGAACACCAAGCUAAAUCACCAUGUCAGAAGCAAAAAACGACUUGAAACACAUUGCUGUGCUAGCAUUCCCGUUCGCCACCCAUGCUCCUCCACUCUUUUCCCUCAUUAGGAGGCUAUCCACGAUGGCUCCGCAAGCGAAGUUUUCAUUCUUUAGCACAAGAGAAUCCAAUAACAAAAUUUUCUCAAAUCAAGGGAGGAUGGAAAGCAUAAAACCCUACAAUGUAAACGAUGGUUUACCUGAGGAUUACAUGAUUUCAUUUGCAAAUCCCCAUGAGCGGGUGGAGUACUUUUUGAAGGCGGUCCCCGGGAAUUUUAAGCAAGCCAUGGAGGUGGCCGUGCAGGUUAUUGGGAGGGAAAUUACUUGCAUCAUCAGUGAUGCAUUCUUUUGGUUUGGGGCGGAUAUUGCACGCGAAUUGCACGUACCAUGGGUGCCACUCUGGACUGCCGGACCUCGUCCCCUCCUUUUGCAUCUUGAAACCGAUCUAGUCCGCCAGAAAAUGGGAGGCGAUGGUAAGGUUUUUUGAUGGUAGGAUCAUAAAGCAUAUGUUCGAAUUUGCAUGAUUUCAAGCUUUGCUUCUUAUUUUAAAGGUUUAUAUUCAUUCAUAUAGUAGUUAUGCGUUCAAUUGUCAUCCACAUGGAUAUCACAUCGAUCAAAGUAAAAAUAAAUCAACUGUGAAAAGAAAUAAAAGGCACAAUUUUGAUUUUCAGGAAAAGAAUCCGGCCCCAUAUUAGGGUUUGGAUCCGCAUAAAGAAAAAGUGCGUAAGCAGAAUUUGCUCACACUGAUCCAAUAAGAUAUCUUGAAAUUCUCUUCUCCACUAAUUUUGAGAUAGAAAUAACAUUAAUUGCAGAAUAAAUUAUAGUUGUUUUUCGGGUCAAUUUUACAUUAAGGAUGGUAUGAAUGGCUUGGUAAGUGGAACAUACUUACUAAUAAGUUUACUUUGAAAUAACAAAUUAUCAAUAAAUUCUGUUAUAAUCUUUUAAGAUCAAUAUUUUUUUUUAAAUCAUGUUUAAUUGUGCUGUCUGUAUUGCCCUCUUCAUAUAUUCUAAGAAAGUAUCAUUUAAAUGGUUUGAAUUUAUUUUCUUCACGUUUAGUUUUUGUAAAAAUACUUUUCAAAAUAUUUUUUUUGAACUUCUUAGUUUUCUCUCUUGUAAAAGAAUUUAUAAUUGUAAUAUACCUUUUCUUAUGUUACCAUUAUAGUAAAUCAUGAUUAAAUUCAAAUAAAAUUAUGAUUAUUAAAGUAGAAAAAAUUAUUCUUCAUAUAUGAAAAUCAAAAUUUUAAUUAUGAAAUCUUAAUGUUCGUGAGCUUAAUGAGGUGCUCUAGACCUUUUUCAAUAAUUUUAUAUAUUAACAAGAAUAAAACCAUAUGAUAUAAUAACUCUUUCAUAUAUAUAUAUAUAUAUAUAUUUUAAAAAAAUAUAUGAAGUAAAAACCCUACCAAAAUACAUAUAAGUGAAAACAAAUUACAUAAGAGAACUUGUGGGGGUAUAAGGGCCUCUUUAAAAAAAGAUAAAUAACAUGUUUGAAAUUUUCUGAAUUAAAUUUAAUUAAAAGAUUUUAAUGAAAUCUUAUAUUUGGAAUCUUUUUAAUUGUUAAGAAUUGAAUUCUAAAUAGAAUUCAAUCUCUAAAAUUACUAUAAAAAUAAAUAAGAGAUCAACCCUUCUAAUUUACAAUUUUUAAAAAAUUAAUGUUAAAACUAAUUUUUCUAAAAUGUUAUAUUUUUUUUAAAUAUUUUUUAAAAAGAUGAAUAUAAUAAGAAUAAUAUAAGAAAUAAAAUGAAUUGGAUUUUAUCUUAUCCAAUAUGUGAAUUCAAUUUAGUUAUCAAUCAAAUUUAAGUCAAACACUAUAAUUAAAUUAAAUUUAAUUAUUAAAUUUAAUUUAAGUAUAGAAUUAUUCCAAAUAAAUAGUAAAGAAAGUCGAUUUAUUAAUGAAAACACUAAAUUUAGGGUAAGAAAUUAGAAUCUAGACUUGGGCCUAAAUUGUAAAGAAAGUUGAUUUAUUAAUGAACACACUAAAUUUAGGGUAAGAAAUUAGAACCUAGACCUGGGCCUUGCUAAAACUAGGCAUGGCCUUAGCGUCUUAAGUGAAGGAUAUUUUAACAAAACAUGUAGCCGUCUUAAAGGCCUGAAACGCAAAUAAUGGUAAUGAUUUUAGAUCAAGGGGAUACUCCUCUGGAGCAUUUGAUAUGAGACAGUAAAGUUAAGCAUGAAGGAUUACUUUUUCCAUGGCUGACAAGUGAAUUCAAGAGCGUUUCAAAGAUGCAAAAUCUCUGUUUUAUUUCCUUAUUAAUUUUUAUGAUCCAAUUUAGCUCAAAUACUUGGGUGAAAAUGGCCUAAACCAUAGAAUUGUUAGUUUAAAUGAAAUGUUUUUCUUCCAUUCUCUGCUUAGCUUACUUUCUACGUCCUUCUUGCUAAUCUGUUAACUAUUUAAUUUCAUGUUUCAUUUUUUAAGGAGUACCGGAAGAUAGAACCAUGGACUUUCUUCCAGGUUUUUCUGAAAUACGAGCUGCUGAUAUACCUAAAGAACUGCUCCAUGAAGACGCAAUACCAGGAAUCCCAGCAAUGUUGUAUAAAAUGGGAAAAAUGUUACCACGAGCAGCUGCUGGUGUAUUGAGCUCGUGGGAGAAAUUAGACCCUGAUGUGGUGAAUCAGCUCCAGUCAAGACUUCAUAAUUUUCUUGAAGUUGGUCCCUUAGUGCUAACAUCUCCAGAUCCUGUUAUGUCCGAUCCACAGUGUUGCCUAGAGUGGCUGGACAGGCAGAAACGAGGCUCAGUCUUGUACGUUUGUUUUGGAAGUAUGAUAAUGCCACCACCUCAUGAGCUAGCAGAGCUAGCAGAAGCACUAGAGGAAUGCGAUUCGCCAUUUCUAUGGUCAUUUAGAGAAAACCCUGAGGCAAAAUUGCCAGAAGGGUUCUUAGAAAGGACUAAGGAGAAGGGAAAAGUAGUCUCAUGGAGUCCACAGUUAAAAGUCUUGCAACACAAUGCAACUGCGGUGUUUCUUACACAUGCUGGAUGGAAUUCGAUUUCAGAGAGUAUUGUUGGAUGCGUGCCCAUGAUUUGUAGGCCUUUCUUCGGGGAUCAAGCCUUGAACACAAGGACUGUGGAGGCUAUAUGGAAAAUUGGUGUUGGGAUUGAAGGAGGGACGAUAACUAAAGAUGGAGUAACCAAAGCUAUAAAACUUAUCUUGUCAACCGAAGAAGGAGAAAAAAUGCGGAAGAACGUUGAACACCUCCAAGAUCUUGCUUUGGAUGCAGUGUCAAAUGGCAGCUCUUCGAAAAACUUCGAAGCACUGCUAGAGGUUGUCACCAAGUAGUGUGAGAUGAAAAUUCCGAGAAAUUGUUUUUCCGAGGGUAAUAUCAUGGAGUAUAAAAUCAUUUGUUUUUCGAAUUUACGAUUUACUUGUAAUUUGGAUAUUGAAGUUUAUGUUAUGGAAGCCCUCGCUUUGUAAUCAGAACCAAAAUCUGGCAGCAAUUUUUAGCUUAUUACAUGGGCGAUUGACGAUCGCUGCAAAGUUUCUAUAUAUCCUGACACGCACCUAAUGUACUCAAUCAGCUCUUUUUAUUAUUUCCUGUUCCAUUUUUAUUUUUUUUAUAAAAAUUGAAAUUUAUUGAUUAACAGAAGCGGUCAUUAAGAUGGUGGCUGGAAACUUCCAUCAAGCAAAAUUACAUCCAGUUUAUGAGCUCAUAAUCUCGGCUUAAAGCCUCUUAUUUUUUUCGGAAUCAUCUGCAACUUAAAAUACAUGUCUAAACAGGGCAGAGCUAGAAAAUAAAAUUAAAAGAGUAAGAUUUCAGUUGUUUUAUUAUUUAAACUAAAACUAUAAAUAUUAUAAAACAAUUAUUUUUUGGCAUGCUGGGUUUUUUUCUUAAUAAUUCCAUGAAUACAACAUUGUGCGUGAAGAAACAAAAAAAAGAAAAAGAAGAUCUAGCCCUACGCGAAGGACUUCAGCCAUUGGUGAAACUGAUUUCAUAAGCUCCCAAGAUUAAUUCAAUCUUUCAUCAACUUCGAAGCUCGCGAGCACAAAGUCUAGCUGUCAAGAAAUUUGGGGUGUCAAAGAACCCUGUGUCAAGGCCACCAGAAAAGGCACAAUUCAAUGAAUCCUUUCUUCUUCUUCUUUGAACUAGAAGGGUAUGAUUCCUCAAGUGGAUGUCCCUAUUCCAUAUCCUUAUGACGAUAUGCUUUCAACUCUCAAUUAUGUAUUUUCGUUUCAAUCCCAACAAACUACAUAGUAGACUCUGUGGGAGCAUAAAAUCUCUUAUGCCAUUUUUUAAUCAAAGUCUUGCUGUUGAGAAAUUAGGGGUUUUUAGGGGUGUGUUUAGAUUGGUAAUUAGGGAUUUUUAGGUACUAUUUUGUAAGUAAGUAAUGGGUUUGUGUUGAUGAAUGUAUCUUUUAGGUUUUUUUUUCCUAUUAAUAUAGAUAUUCGAGCCAGCUUGCAUGUAUCUCGAUUAAUCUCACGGGCUUAAAGUUAAUGACCAUAUAAGCCUCCAAUAAUCAUCAUAUUAGCAACCAUAGGACUCGAACCUGAGACAAUAAAAACAAUAAAUUUUUUGAUCCUAAAUUCUUAUCACUAAGUUAUCUACUAAAUGAUUAUCUUUUAGGUUUUUGUUUGGGAAUAAAAUGGUGAUUUUGGAUUCUAUUUUUUUAUGUGUAUUUUAAUAUAUUUAAAAAGAGAAGGAAAGGGAUAACAUUAGAUUAAUUUUUUAUUGGGUUUAAAACCUUUGUUUUAAUUGUAGAAGAGAAAGAAAUUGUAUCUUAAUAGAAAAAUCAUGUUUAAAGAAUGAAAUUCUAUAUUUUUAAUAUAUUACAAUAAGAGUAGUUUGGUUAUUUUUUUAUAUAUGUUUGAAAAAAAAAAAUUAAAAUGUAAAUGGUAUUUUUUCAAACUAAAAAAGACAAUGCUAAAUAUAAUUUUGCCCUAAUAAAAUUAUAAAACAAGUGAUAGUACUAUAGUAUUUAUUUCAAAAAUCAAGAGUUAUUAAGAAUUUGGAUUUGAUCAAUUUUUUAUUUAUAAAAGUUUUUAUUAUCCUUUUAUUUUAGUUUUAGGAUAGGAAAUAUCUAACUAAUUUUAAUCAAUAAAAGGAUCAAACAUUGAUACCAAGAAUUAGAAGGAAUAAAAUGAUAUAAAAAUUAAACAAAUGUUGGUUUAUGUAUUUUAAAAACAAUAUAAACAUAAUUAUAAUGAUGAAAACAAUAUAAAAACAAUAUUAUAAUUAAAUUAUUAACCAAUUAUACAUGAUGGGUUAAAGAAUCCAGAAAGUUCACGGGCAAAAAGCCCAUGAAAGAACCUAGCAAGUCCAAAGUCCAAACCGCUAAAUUAUACUAAUCAAGCAGGUGCGGCAAUUUAAUUAAUGUAAUAUAAUUUCCUGGCCGACGUCGAGCCUGCUGUUAUCUUGCUGUCAAUUGCAUAACACCCUCAAAUCCCUGCCUUUAAUCCCUUGAUAGAUGUUGACAAAUCAUAAAUAAAAUCCUUCAUUCUUAAAUAUACAAAAACUUUCUGUGACAUGCAGCUCAAUAACUGGAAACCAAGAGACUUCAAAACACAGAAACCAGAGGGAAGAAGAUAGAACAAGUGGUAGUUGCACUCCCACGCCCAAGAACUUACCUCCUAAUGGGGUGAGGAAGGGAAAAACUACAGAAACUUAAGCAGAAUUAAUGGAGUGAUAUCAUUUAUAAUUAAGUUGUAGCCAAUAGAACUGCUUAUAGAUGACUCCAGGAACCAAGAAAAAGUUCAAAUCGCUUUUUCUUUCUCUUGUGGGGAUUUUUCAUCUGUAAAUUCAUAGCACGUAUAUAAAACUGAGCUGCAUAUACAGCAGGAAAUAAAGCAACAGAAACUUUGAUAUGAAAAUAUUCUGAACAGGACAUUACUAUUAUUAUUCACACAAUUUACAAAACCUGCAGCCAAUUAAUAGACUUCUGUCUUUCUUCCACAUCUUAUGAAAUAAGCUCAUACCACUCCCGAAUAUUUCCUUCUGUGUUUUUUUUCUUUUUUUGGAGAUUACAUAUUAUAACCUAAUUGAUAAUCUUGAAACAUCCCUUCAGACUGAAGAACAGAAGUGGAAUCCCAAGAAUUUGAGGAGGCUGAUUUUGUCUCAAAGUCAUUAGACCACCAAUUCAUGCUGUCCCUAGAACCGUUCAUUUCUUUGAAACAAUCAAAUUCACCAAUCUGAUCCCCCGGUGCAGUAAGACCUGAUGUUUUGUUGUUGAGAAAGUUUUCGAGCUCAGAUUGGAAAUUUGAGACAGGCUGGACCGCUGCAUCAGAUUGGUCUGCCAUGCCUGCUCCCGGAACAGUAGUCAAGUCCAUUACAUUUUUACCAUUGGUGAAGGGAAGAGGACUGUCCGAGGAUGUUAUAACAUUCAAAGAAUUCUCCAAGCUGACUACGUUUGAAUUGCUGAAUUUUGGAUGACCUUGUUGAAGUGUGUCGGGAUCCACUAGCUGCCCAUAGAUAUCAACCUUUUGCGCAUCCCCUUGUUGAGUACUGGGGAAGGCAUAUUGCAUAAGAGGGUUAGAGAUUUCACUCAAAGAUUGAAGGAGAAUCUUCUCUUGGAAAGGAUGCAACUUGGGCCACAGUGCAGGAUUGUUGUAGAAAGCGAUAGGGUUUUGAAGGCUUUGAAGCUGCAUAUGCAGCUGGAGCCUUUCAAGUGCUGAGUUGCUCAAGGCCUGUGAAGAUGAGCUAUCUUCUACGCCAUUGGCAUCUGGAUUCGUGGAUGAUAGCCGAUUGUUGCUAGAUUGUUUGCGCCUUCCAAGUAGCUUCUUCUUCAGUCUUGUGUUCCAAUAGUUCUUGAUAUCGUUAUCUGUUCUUCCCGGUAAUUGUGCAGCAAUUAUGGACCACCUAUUUUAAUUGCACAAGGAAUUUGAAUUAUAUCAUUUGUCACUCCCAAGAAAUAAUAAAAAAGAAAGAAGAAGAGGAAUCCAAACAAAAGAAUAAACCCUACAACUAAGAUACGAAUCUGCAAGAUGGAAUUCGCUAUCUUAAGCACUAGCAUCAUUGACAAAGAAAAAAAGGACAAAGCAGUGCAUGUUCAGUUCUAUGGGAAAAACUGAGAUAGAGAGAGAGAGAGAGAGGGUACCUGCUGCCAAUACUUAUGUAGAGGCUGCAGAUGAUAUUGUCUUCUUCUUCAGAGAAUCCACCAUGCUUGAUAUUAGGCCUCAAGUAAUUCAACCAUCUCAGUCUGCAACUUUUUCCGCAUCUCUUAAGCCCUAUAAUCAAAUCAAUUCCAUCAACAGUUCAAACAAAUAAUUCUAGUUCACCUCCUAAACAAAAAUCAAAGAGAGCUAGUCUUGAAAGAACAUAUUUCCUUUCAGAAAAAAUAAAUAUAUAUAUAUAUAUAGAGAGAGAGAUAGAGAUAGAUAUUUACCAACUUUUUGAGGAAGUGCAAUCCAGUUUCCUCCAGUACCAAACUGGUCAAUAUAAGCCUUAAGCUUAGCAUCCUCUUCUGGUGACCAUGGUCCCUUUUUCACAUUGUUUUUAUCACAACAAGGAGCUCGACCCAUCUCUCUAGCUAUGCUUUCUUCUUAUUCUCUUUCUCUAAGCAAGAAACUCUUUGAAAGCUGUCUAAGAUUGUUGGGGAAGAUUGGGAAAGGAUGAACCAAGAUUUAUAGGCAGGAAUAGUGGGUGAUGUUAUGCUUAUUACGACAAAAAGUCUUACAACUCACCCUCCCCUCUCCUCCUCUUAAAAAUUCAACCCCCAUUUCGUUUUUCUUUAGGGUUUAUUUUUCUGCUUGCUAGGUCUCUAAUUCUCUCUUCCUUUUUGGAUUAGUUCGCUCAUCCAUAUUUAACUAUACAUGCAACUAGACAAAAUGCAACACAAAUUUCUUCUACUUUAUAAUUUUAUAUUACACUACUUUUUUUCCAGGUUGAUUAGUUUAUUGUUUGAACACUUUGUGCUACAGGUAAGUAUCAUAAGAAAUAUCCUCGAAAGGUUCCAUUAUUAUCCACCUUAAAAUAUUAAUGUUCUUGCUAAUAAGGCAGUAGAAUUCUGUGUACUAAAUUAUAUUACAGGCCAUCAUUUUAUGAAUUGAACCUGUUUCGAGUGUCGCGAUUGACUUACACAUGUUUAUCUUAGAAGUUUCAUGGGAUGACAUUACCUUCCUGGAGAACUGCAAUCAAAUGGUAUAAUAAGAGCAUGUGUUGGGACAAAUAAUGUUCUGCUAUAUAUAUAUAUAUAUAUAUAUAUAUAUAGAAUAAUAUAAAUUAUAUCUCAAGACAUUACCUAACAAUUUAAGUUAUUAGGUUUAGAUGGUUUUUUGACAUGGUAUUAGAGCCUUAAUAACCAAGUGGUCACGAGUUCGAAUCUCACUACCCCUAUUUAUUUGAUAAAAAUCAAGAACAAUGUAAUUUGAGCAUGUGCAAGUUUCAAGCCCAAAAGACUUUUAUUUGAGAGGGUGUGUUAGAAAAUAAUAUAAAUCAAAUCUUGAAACUUUACCUAAAAGUUUAAGCUAUUAGGUUGAGAGUAGCUUUUUGGCCAAACUAAAAAAGGAUACUGCUAAUUACCAUUUCGCCUUUGACUAGGAUUGGAAUCAAACUUGAUGCUAGAGAUUUUGCUUAAAUGUGUAGUCUUAUGAUAAUGAGUAUAAUUUUUAAUUUGAUUGUUGAAUUGGACUCAAAUUUUAUAGGAUUUUAGAAACCCUAUUUUACAUGUGGUUAAAGUUUCGUAGCCAUCAAAUAAGGUAAAUAAAAUCCCCCAAGUUAGGCCCAAAAGUUACUAUUUAGGAUUUCUAUUUGCUAGUAUAUAAGUAGCUUCUGACAAAUGUAAUACUCAGUUUUUAUUAGGGUGCUUAUGGUUGAAACCUUUUUUUCGACAUAAUUUUAUCUUUUCAUGCUUGUUGUCUUUCUUAUGUUGUUUUCGCCUAUAUUAUUUGGCAUUGGAACUCAAUGAUUAUUCAUGGUUAGUUUUUGUAUGUUAUUGAGUAACCAUGGUUGAAAGAGAUUGCAGAAUAAAGCGUGCUUGUAUAGUAAAUAAGGAUGAUGAGAUUCCCCUUAAAAAAAAAAGAUGUUUAAGAAAUAAUGAUAGGAGAUAUGCUAAGAUCUAAGAUAGAUUAUAGAAUUAACUUGUUAGUUGGUGAAGAUGAGGAGCUUAAGAGAUUGCAAGAAAAGUGAUCAUGGAUCCAUGGAAAGCUUUGAAAACCUAUUUGAAAGGCACGAGUAGAGGAGACAACCUUUUAAUCUAAAUAAGUAUUAUGAAGAUUUAGGAUUUUGGAUAAAACUUUCUGAGUUCAUAGAAACCUUAUAGAUAGAGGAGUUUAUCAAUUACUUUAAUGAAUUGGAGAGGAUAUUUAAGUGCAAUUAAGUCAUAAAAUGGAUAAGGACAAAGCUAGUUAAUUUCCAUCAGAUUUGUCGCACCCCAAAAAAAAUCAAAUCAGCGCGCGGCAUCGGGCGAGCGAUUUAUCUCGUUGUUGCGUUUGAAUUUGGUUCGUUGGAGUCACCACCUAGUAAUUGAUUUCGGGCUACUAGGAAACCGGAUGUACUGGUCUUGUCAGAGAUUCGCGGGUAAGGGACUGGUUGUGGUUAGGGAAGGUAUUAACACCCCUAACGCACCCUACCUGAGGUAAGCUGCUUCGUGGCUUUGACGUGUUAAAGAAGUUUUAAUAAUUGUCUUUUCUUCGGAAAUUAGAAAUAUCACUUACGUAUAAGUUAAUAAUUCUUAACCGUGAUCCGAUCAAAAUAUUAAAUUCUUCUUUAAUAUAUUUUCAAUUUUAUCAUUAAAAAAUAUGUACAAAUAAAUAAAACAAAAAUACAAGCACACACAUACACUUUCACUAUUUUAUUUUUGUUUCUUUUCUUUUUCUUUUCUUUUCUUUUCUUUUACAUCCAUAUUUACAAAAUCCAAAUACAAAUUCAAAACAAAAAAACAUAAAAAUUACAUGAAUUAAUUUAAAAUGUAGAAAACAGUCCCCCAAAACUCCAGGAAUUGCAUAGGAACGCUUCUAGAAUGGUCUGAACGGUGGUGGCGCGUCUUCCCACGCGCCCCCGUCACUGGAGGCGCGUGGGUUCACGCGCCGCCGCUGGAGAAGUACAGUGAGCAGGGGUUCAGUCACAGCCUCCCCUCUUCAACAGCGAUGACACUGACCUGCAAAACGAAAAAAAAACCCAACAACAAUCUGUUCUAAUUUUCAUUUUAUUUCAUCCGUUCCCAAGUUUUUUUCCUUUUUUAGAUCUGUUUCCUUCCGUUUCUCUGCCUCCUCUCGUCUGUCUCAGGUGACCGGAUCUGCUGUCAGGGCGCCUGUGGCUAACGGUUGGCAGCCUCUCGGUGGUAGCGGCGCUGCUGUUCGGCCGCCGCUGGGAGAGGCAACCGAAGGAGAAGCAGCCGUUGCUGAUGGGAAGGCUGCGGUGGCUGGAGGUCUGGUGACCGGCGGCUGUGGAGUGAGGGGAGGAGUAAUCGGCUGGUUAGUGGGGUUCGGUGAGGAAGAAAAAAAACAGUUGUGGCCGGUUGAAGAAGAAACGAAAAAAUCAAAAGGGGGAGUGUGGGGCUGUUAUGGUGAAGAUGAAGAUGGCUGGGCAAUUCAAACCAGGGAAGGGGGGCGGCGGCUUGGUUUUCUUUUGUGCAGGGAGAUCAGAAAAAAUCAAAAGGUGUGGGGGGCGCCGCCGGCUAGUUUAUCUCUGUCAAUGGGAGUAGGGCGGCUCUGUUUGGCUCCGACUGAAAAAAAAUAAAAUAAAAUAAAAUAAAACCAGAGGGGAAGGGGCCUUGGGCGAGAAGGAGCAACGGCUGGAAGUUCAAAAAAUUUCAAACCGGGGGGGCGGCUCCUUUGGGUAGGCUGUUUGGAGAAAACAAAAGAUAGGUUUAGGGUUUUUUCUUUUGUAUUUUUGUUGAAGUUUCAAAAUUGUCCCCCCUCUUUUGUGUGAGUUAAAGACCAGUAUUUAUAGGCAAAAAUGUUGCCAAGUUUUUCAACUUGGUCCCUCAACUUCUUUCUUUUUGUAAAUUUUGAUUUUUCUUAUUUUUUUGUAUUUUUUGAAAACGAGCAAUAUCAACGUCGACUCAAAUGCGGAAAAUCAAUGAUUUUAAAAAUGACGCGUGAAAAAUCGAACGCGUUUGAAAAUAUUUUAACAAUUUAAAUUCUUUUUUAGACGACGUUGAAAAUGCUAAAAUGACGAAAAUAUAUUAAAAAACAUAUUUUUUGGAUUUUUGAAAAUAUAUCAAAACAUGGGUCAAAAAUUGGGUAGCAACAGAUGCCCCCUCUUUACAAUGCUUACGAAACAAAACUCCUCAAAAUUUUGCAUAGUAAGCUUUGUAAAGAAAACAAAAGGAAAAUGAUUUUAUUAUCUUGGGCAACCUGCCUACACAUACUCACUCUAGUCUAUUUUCACGGGCGACCGACCCACACUCUCCCAAUAGUCUAUUUUCACGGGCGACCUGCCCACACAUUGGGUUUACCUGAGAUCCCAUCUAGCGACCUCAUUCAACUGAAACGAAAAUAUUGUGUAACUCGGUUAACCUGAAAUCCCAUCUGGCUAUUCCCUUUAACCAAAGCUACCCGAGAUCCCAUCUGGCGACCUCAUUUAACCAAAACAAAAGAAUGUGUGAAAAAUGGUCUCAUUGUAUGGGUGACGAACCCAAGAAAAAAAUGAUGGUCUCAUUGUAUGGGUGACGAACCCUAGAAAAAUGAUGGUCUCAUUGUAUGGGUGACGAACCCCAGAAAAGUGGUGGUCUCAUUGUAUGGGUGACGAACCCGAGAAAAGUGGUGGUCUCAUUGUAUGGGUGACGAACCCCAGAAAAGUGGUGGUCUCAUUGUAUGGGUGACGAACCCGAGAAAAGUGGUGGUCUCAUUGUAUGGGUGACGAACCCUAGAAAAGUGGUGGUCUCAUUGUAUGGGUGACGAACCCCAGAAAAGUGGUGGUCUCAUUGUAUGGGUGACGAACCCCAGAAAUAUGAUGGUCUCAUUGUAUGGGUGACGAACCCCAGAAAAAUGAUGAAGUGCGGUCUCAUUGUAAUGGGUGACCUACCCACGUGGAAAAAAUAUGAAGUGUGGUCUCGUUGUAAUGGGUGACCUACCCAGAUGGAAAAAAUGUGAAAAUGGUCUUAUUAUGAUGGGAGACCUACCCAGAUGGAAAAAAUGUGAUAUGACAAGUGUGAAAAAUAGGACUUACCUGGCGAAGUUCUGAAAGGAUGACAGAAGAAAGGGCUGGAAGACUUGGUGCUUCCUGAUAAUUCCCGAUCAUGGGGUUUGAAAACUCGGUGUUUCCUAAUUGCAAGGGUUGAAAACUCGAGGCUUCCCGGUUGCAAGGUUGAUCUAUUCAUUUCUUUGGGAUUUUCCUAAUGGUAGGGUUCAUCCCAUCGUCCUUUUAUUCCAUGAUCAAAAUCGAUUCUUUAUUAUCAUCACCACAAUGCUUCUUUCUCUUUCCACCAUCUUGCUGGACCUCAUUAAGGAUUUUCCUGUAACAAUUCAAAAAUAUGUGCAAAUGGUUUUUUUUUUUUUUUUUUUGAGGUUAGAUGAUAUGCAUGCAUCCUUACCUGAUUUGAAAUAAUAGAUCCCCCCUCUUUGAUGCUCCAUCGUCAUAGGGUGCCCUUGUUUGUAUCCCAAAGCUUUCUUUGUUCUUCCGAUGUAUUAGCUCAUUCAUGUGUUAGCCAUCCACUCAGCUGUAAAUGCGUGCCCAUCCCGGGCUGUCUUCGACAAUUACUGCUUGCAUCGUUCAUGAAGCUUGACCCUGCCCCCAAGUGUGUACUGCUUGAUUCAUCAUGAGAGAUUUUCUCUCCUGGCUUCUUCUGAGAAAUUAUCCUCUGAUUGAUUGUGUGCAUCAUGCCAACACCCAUCACGUUUGUUAAUCAGUCAUGAACUUGCCUUCGGUUGAAACACCAUUCAAGUAUGUAUGGUCACCAGCCUUCAUGGAACUGCCAAGUCAUCCAGACAUGUAUCUCAUGCUUUGCAGUAAACAGCUCAUCAUUGUAAGCUGAUGUAUUUCUCUAUGGAUUCCUCUUAGCUUGUCAAUCAGAUCGUGAAAAUACCUGCUUUGCAUCAUCAAUGAUGUUCAUGUUAUCACCAUAUUCAUGCGGUGAAGUGCGCAUUUGAGCUUCAGAAUAGAUGUCCCACAAUCAGUCUUCGAGGUGGGUGCCUUUCCGACAUUCAUUCAGUGCAGUUGUGUGAUAACAUCGUCUCUAACCAUGUUUCAAAGAAUGACAAUAUGAGAUUGUCCUUUAAGUGCAGCAUUGUUCCACAGUCAGUCUUGGUGGUGUGCAUCUUUUCUCAUUCAAUUACAUUCAUCUGUGUAUUCCUCAUCGAUCGCGAGCCAUGUUUCAAAAAAUGAUGAUAGGAAAGUGCCUUCAGGUACGUUUUUGUUUCUCCAUUGCCGACAGGAUUCACUAAAGCAUGGGCCAUUUUGGAAUGACAUUGCCCCAGUAUGAUCCGAAUGUGCUCGUUCAUUGAUUAUCUGUCUUUGAACAUCAUUGUCUUCAGUUCACUGAUUCAUCAUUUAAACAUUGCCUCAUAGCUGAUCUGAGCACUGCUUGUUUUUCCUUUUCAAGGUCUACUGUAUUGCCCCCAGCUGCUCAACUUUUCAAGGAGUGUCGAGGACUUCAAUGUCAUUUCUAUCAACAAUUUUGCAUACUCAAUCAAUGUUCUUCUGUGUUUGAUAAUCUUCCUUGUUCUGGAAUCAACUCUCAUAUUUCAAAGAUCAUGUCUAUUCAAAGUCUAGUUUGUUGAAAUGAAAUCAGAGAUGUCUUUUUGAAAAUCUUUUGAAAAUCAAGCUUUUUGAUCAAAGGCCCAACACAUUUUAUUCGAAAUAUAUAGUCCUUUGAUUGUCAUGCAUUUUGAAAACAGAAAUUGACCCAAUGUAGGAUUAAAAAUGGCUUUUUCCAUGGUUCUUUGUAUCAAUUUGAAUCCUUGAUAUUGGGUAUAUCAUUUGAUAGUCUAUGAUGAGGUGACCUUUGCAUGAAUUUCAAAAACAAGAUGCUCAGGCUUUAUCAAGAAAGGUUGUUUCUUCUCUUAGCAUUUAUUUUAUCAGCAUGCAUAAUAACCAGUAGCUUAAUUCAUGAAGUCACGACCCUUAUGGAAAAAACUCUUCAAGUUUUGAGAUCGCCAUUUAUUGGUUCAGAUUGCUUGCUUGAUUAAAAAGGGCUUUUAAAAGCACGUAAUGCAGGCUAUGGUUCAUGGCUAUGAAAGAAAGGAAUUCCAUAGGCUCAAAAAGGUGUUUGAGGGUUUCAAAGACCUAGGAUCAACAUCAACUAUUCAUCAACUUGCUUUCUAUUGUUGUCUUUGUAGAGGAAACGACAUAUAACCUUGUUAACCUCAAAGUUCAGACUUUUCUUAACAUAAGUCAUAAUGCAAAUCCCCCUUUCCUUGAUGAAUAACUAAUCUAAAUAUUUUUGAAGACAUUAGAGGCUCUAUCCAAGACACACCAAAAGAUAUGAAGCAUCGAUUUUUCUAGUGUUGACUUUUGGCAUUUGCUGUCUUUUCUCAAUUGAAAACUGUCUUGCCUCUCUUAGAAUUGAUAGGCAUUUUCUUUCCUUUCCAUUUUUUUUUUUUUGCAUAGCCUUCCUCAAAGUUUUUCUUGGAUGGCCCUCAAUCUAUGGAUUUUCUUCUGCUAGCCCUUUCUCAAACAUUGGACUUUUGUUCUAAGCUUUUCUUUGAUCCAUUGAUUUUAUCAGUGUCUCCAAAAUAUUUCUCAUUUGCCCCUAGUGUGGGGUGUGAUCCUAGUCAGGGUUUCCUUUUGAAAGAAAAUAUCUCACCAAGCUCAAAAUGGGACUACAAGGGAUAUAAUUUUUAGAAAGUGAAGAGAUAUCAAAGAUGGCCUUUUCUCAUUUCAAGCAAGGUCGGUUAGAACCGAUAAAUUUUGACCUCAUCUAGUGUAAUGAUUUGGACUUGUAAGAAUCAUGAUUCACGAGUCCAUAACUAUUGAAUCCACUACAUGUCAUUAUGCAUACUGCUAAAACUUAGCUAUAUGAUGUGUGGUUCAGUUUCAAAAGGUAUGAGUUCAAAAUUGUUUGGUCACCUCAUGUCAUUUUCAAGUAGAGUCAUUUCUGUAAUCAAAACACUUUUAAUCUUCCGGAUUGAUUAACCUUUAUCGCAUGUUGGAGUUUGAUCAAAAUAUUUUGUCAGAAUAAAAUGUAAACAUCUGUUGAUUUCAAAACAACAAAGAGACAAAAGCAAGGCAUGUUUCGUUGAAGGAUGAGAUGUGAUCCCAAAACAAAAUGCAGAAUUCCAUAACAAUAUGAUUGACUGUUCAUCACCAUUCUCGAAUCAGCUUUUCUGGCAAUAUCUGUGUUUUGCAAACAUUUUCGAUCACAUGUCAUUCUGAAGUUGUUCGGGGAACAAUAUAGCCAAUGACACCCUCUUCAACGACUCCACUUGUCUCUUGCUCACCAACUUUCAGACUCGCUUCUCAAUUCUUGAAAUUGCUCAAUUGAAAUGGUUGAGGACCCCAUCAUGACAUCACAUCUCUUGUCUGGAUUAACCACCCAGAAAAUGGUGGUUGCAUGGAUUUGUCGGAGUCAAGCAAAAUUCUGGAAUCUGGCAGAUGCUGGUCGACAAACUUAAAUGGCAGAGGAAUGUCCCAUCUUGGCAAAGAUAUUUGGGCAAUUGAUGCUGCCGUGAGACCUGGCUAUACCACAUAAUUAAGGGUUCACACCGUCAAAGUCAUCUCCAUGAUUUACCUCUCCUCAUUGUUCUAGAAUCCAUGGCAGAUCCUUCAAUCUUUCUCUCUUCAUAGCCUGUUCAAUUCUUCGGCAAAUUCUCAUAACAUUAUUUCAAUCUUCCAAUGUUGCUAGGGUUGGUUGAGGAUUGUUAGAAAACUUUCUAACAACUUGGUAAUCUUGGCAGCGCCCAUAAACUUGUAGUAUCGUCACUACCGACGUGUGGAAUCACACAUUGUCUCUAUUGGAAGAGCACCAGAUGAAUCCAAAACUCCUUUGUCCCCUCUUCGAUUUCUCACUGACAGUGCAGCAAACAAACACCUAUAGAGGAAGUCCUGCUCUGUUGAAGUUUCAGUAUUCUUCAUGUUUUUUAGUCUAGGCAUGUCUCUUUUCUCUACUUUUGCGUUUUAAUACUGACACUGUUGGAGGAAAAUCAUAGAUGACCUGAAACUACUGUAUUCCUUCUUGGAUUUCCCACUUGCGGAUCCACAAACAGAUUCCUGCCGAGAGAGCUCUGCUCCGUUGAAGUUUGAUGUCUGCUCGUAUUUUUCAGACCAGGUCUGGAUCUUCAACGUACCAAGAUGUCUCCGUGCUGAAACUGAUGGGAGAAAUAUUUGUAACAUAUACAACUUAUAAAUCCCCUCUUGCACUCCCAAUUUGCAGAGCCAUAAAUGGAUUUUUAUAGAGGGAGCUCUGCCACAUUGAAGCUCAGUGUUUAAUCAUGGUUUUUCAGACCAGCAUCUUGUGCUGAUGAAAUGGAAUUGAGCUCAUAAUUAGGGCAGCUUCCAAGAAGACUAAUGCGCCAUGUACAGGAGACCGAUAGUUGUUUGGUUCCAUUAGAUGAUGUGGAGGCGAUGAACAUUUAACAAUGCAACCAGAGUUGUCAUUAGUUGAUGACUGAAGGCGUUGUUGCUUUUGUUCAUGACGAAAAAAGGAGAAAUACAGCUUCAAUUAGAUGUGAACAAGCAGUGUUCCCACAGAAGACUGUGCAGAUAUUCUCUUUCCAUUUGAUGCUCAACACUUGUUCGAGCAGAUCUGAGUCUGGCUACUUCACAUUUAAUGCUCUCAACCUUAAUCUGAUAAUGAGCCUCUAUCUGACACCUUUCUUCACCUCCAUCAUUUUUCUCCAAUCAUGUGCAGCACAGCUUGUGUGGGGGACCUACCUUUCAACCCGGUACAUGCAUGAUAAAUGUAUGAACAUGUAAUCUAUAUGAUGAACUCACCCUUCGAGAGGUGACAAUAUGGUCGUAACUCUUGUAUGAUGGACAAGAAUCGUGAUUUUUGCCCAAACUCUACAAUGAAAAUUUUCGGAGCAACGGCCAAUGUGUCACCCACAAGUCUUGAGUUCAAGAUGCUUCAAGAAGGGUUUGCCCUUAUGCAAAAAACGAUAGCACAUACAACCUAAGGACAGGUUCUAUUCAUUAUGUGAACAUGGGUAGGUUUUCUAUCUGGUCUCAAAAGGGUCUCAUAUCUGCCCAGUGACGUUCUUCGUAAAGACAGUAUGGGGGCGUUGCAAAGAAUGGUUAAGGCACGUAUACCCACCAUUACCAAGCAGGCACUCAGAUAUGAGUUGGGUGUUUCACGCAUCUGAACCCUGACCAAUAGUCUUAGGGCAGAUCGCUAGUUCCCCACCUAACCUAGAAGCUUGUGUGUGCUUUCAAAAAUAAAUACAGGUGAUGCAUGAGACAAUUCUAUAAAAUGCAUGGAAAUAAAUAUUAACAAAAAAACAAAAAUGCAAAAACAUAAACACAUCAAAUACACAAAGCUUAAUCCAAUAAUAUCAGAAACAGUACCGUCCCCAGUGGAGUCGCCAUUCUGUCGCACCCCAAAAAAAAUCAAUCAGCGGCGGCAUCGGCUGGCGAUUUAUCUCGUUUGCGUUUGAAUUUGGUUCGUUGGAGUCGCCACCUAGUAAUUGAUUCGGGCUACUAGGAAACCGGAUGUACUGGUCUUGUCAGAGAUUCGCGGGUAAGGGACUGGUUGUGGUUAGGGAAGGUAUUAGCACCCCUUAACACCUACUGAGGUAAGCUGCUUCGUGGCUUUGACGUGUUAAAGAAGUUUUAAUAAUUGUCUUUUCUUCGGAAAUUAGAAAUAUCACUUACGUAUAAGUUAAUAAUUCUUAACCGUGAUCCGAUCAAAAUAUUAAAUUCUUCUUUAAUAUAUUUUCAAUUUUACAUUAAAAAAUAGUACAAAUAAAUAAAAAAAAAUACAAGCACAUCACAUACACUUUCACUAUUUUAUUUUUGUUUCUUCUUUUUCUUUUCUUCUUUCUUUUACAUCCAUAUUUACAAAAUCCAAAUACAAAUUCAAACAAAAAAACAUAAAAAUUACAUGAAUUAAUUUAAAAUGUAGAAAACAGUCCCCCAAACUCCAGGAAUUGCAUAGGAACGCUUCUAGAAUGGUCUGAACGGCGGUGCGCGUCUUCCCCACGCGCCCCGUCACUGGCGGCGCGUGGGUUCACGCGCUGCCGCUGGAGAAGUACAGUGAGCAGGGUUCAGUCACAGCCUCCCUCUUCACGGCGAUGACACUGACCUGCAAAACAAAAAAAAAACGCAACAACAAUCUGUUUUAAUUUUCGUUUUAUUUCAUCCGUUCCCAAGUUUUUUUCCUUUUUUAGAUCUGUUUCCUUCCGUUUCUCUGCCUCCUCUCGUCUGUCUCAGGUGACCGGAUCUGCUGUCAGGGCGCCUGUGGGCUAACGUUGGCAGCCUCUCGGUGGUAGCGGCGCUGCUGUUUCGGCCGCCGCUGGGAGAGGCAACCGAAGGAGAAGCAGCCGUUGCUGAUGGGAAGGCUGCGGUGGCUGGCUGGUGAUGGAGGCGUCUGUGUGGUCGGCUGAGAAGAUCGGCGUUGAUGGAAACCGAAGGAGGAAGAAGAUAGGCCGGCUGUUGAAGGAAAUGAGUUUGUGGCUGGCUGAAGGCAGAUCGGAGUUUGCUGCGGAGAGGCUGCAACAAGGAAGUAAAUGCAGGGGCUGGACCAGGAGAAAAAGGGGGGAACGGUGAUGAGGCUGUUAGCCAAGGGAAGAAGGAACGGCUGAGGGGAGGGAGGUCUGGUGACCGGCGCUGUGGAGUGAGGGGAGGGAGCAAUCGCGCUGGUCAGUGGGGUCGGAGAGGAAGAAAAAAAAAGCAGUUGUGGCCGGUUGAAGAAGAAACGAAAAAAUCAAAAGGGGAGUGUGGGCUGUUAUGGUGAAGAUGAAGAUGGUUGGGCAAUUCAAACCAGGGAAGGGGGCGGCGGCGCUUGGUUUUCUUUUGUGCAGGGAGAUAAAAAAAAAAUCAAAAGGUGUGGGGGGCGCCGCCGGCUAGUUUAUCUCUGUCAAUGGGAGUAGGGCGGCUCUGUUUGGCUCCGGCUUGAAAAAAAUAAAAUAAAAUAAAUAAAACCAGAGGGAAGGGGCCUUGGGCGAGAAGGAGCAACGGCUGGAAGUUCAAAAAUUUCAAACCGGCGGGGCGGCUCCUUUGGUAGGCUGUUUGGAGAAAACAAAAGAUAGGUUUAGGGUUUUUUCUUUUGUAUUUUUGUUGAAGUUUCAA